CCCUUAAGGUUAUAAGAGCGUCCGGGAUUCACGUUGGAGUCUCUCUUAUUGAAGUGCUUGGAAGACAAAGAAACAGUUUGCAUCCCCAUUGUCUGUUUUUCACCCGAUAGAGAAGCCCUUCUAUUAUGGUUUCUGAUACUUCUAUUUCCUCCACUGCUUGAACUGUCUGCUGCUUCCUUGCUCUUUCUGGUUCCAAUGUUUCCUUUAUGAUGUGAACCUUGCUCUACCAUAGAAACAAAGGAAGGCAUUUCAUUUUUUGAAGAACCAGUAUCUUUCUUUUUCACUGAUAUAGCUUUCUUCUCCAUAACAGCAGAGUCAUUGAGUUUCCAAGUUUCAGAAUCUUGAGAAGGCUUAGAACUGUUUCUUGAUACCACUUUAGAAUUCAUCAUGCUGUGCACUGAUCCUGUGAGAGAAGAUGGCUCUGUUAGUUCAGGUUGUUCCUCCUCUAAAUCCAUGGAGUCUUCCAUAGUAACAUCAAUCUCUUUCUCCAAAGAAACAUUUAUUUUCUCUGUCACUAAUACAACAUUUUUCUCUGUGACAAAAGACUUGUUAAGUAUCUGGGCUUCAGAAUCUGGAGAAGGCUCAUGACUGGCCGUGGAUUUCACCUUAGAAGAUGGUUCAAAUUGCCGACGCUUCACCCUUGAAUGAAUGGAAUCUUCCAUAGGAACAUCAACUUCCUUAAAAGAUGAAACCUUUUUCAGAGUUCCUUUCUUUGUCACUGAUAUGACCCUUUUCUCCGUGACAAAAGAAUCUGGAGAAGGCUUAGAGUUGGUUGUGAAUGUCCUUUUCCUCUCAGCUUUAGGAGAUGCUUCCAAAUUUUCAUCCUUUCCAUACUUGCAAUAAUCAUGGCAGGAUCCCAGCGAAGCUCUGAGAUAACGGGAUUGGAUACUUCUAGCAAUAGAUCUCCUUCUGACAUCAGCAUCAUUGGCCUCUAUUCCCGCCGGGAUCACUAUGAUAGAGUUUCUUUUGAUGUCACCACCCUCGGGCUCCAUUUCCUGUGGGGUACAUGCAAUAGAGUUCCUUCUCAGAUCGCCGGAGUCCAUUUCAUGUAGGAUCACUGGAAUAGAAUUAGCUUGUAUAUCAUCACCAUCAAGCUCUAUUUCCUGCAUAGUCUCAGGGAUAGAGUUCCUUCCUACAUCACUGCCUUCGAGCUCCAUUUCCUGUGGAGUCACUGGGAUGACAUCAUUGGACUCAUCAACAUUAGACUCCAACUCCUGCGGGAUCACUGGGAUUGAGUCAGUGUUAAUAUCAUCAGACUCAUCACCCUUAGACUCCACCUCCUGUGGGAUCAUUGGAAUUCUGGAAUCAUCACCAUCCGACACUGUUUCCUGUGGGAUAACUGGUAUAGACUUCCUCCCGAUUUCAUCACCAUUUGGUUCUAUUGCCUGUUGGAUCACUGGGAUAGAGUUGUUAAUGAUAUCACCACCCUUUGAUUCCAUUUCCUGUGGAACUAGUGCAAUAGAAUGCCUUCUAAUGUGACUGACAGUGGGUUCUUUUUCUUGUGGAAUCACUGAGAUAGAGUUCCUUCUGCCAUCCUCACAAAUAACCUUCAAGUCUUCUAGGAUCACUGGGAUACCGAUAUUCUCAACUUCCAUUAUGAAGAAUAUGACAUUGCAUACUGACAACCCUGUAGAAGAACAAAAAUUCCCAAAAGAGAGUGUGAGUAGAGACUAUGAAACCGCAAAGCUACACAAUAUCAUAUCAACACCUUCCCUAUUGAAUUCGAAGUACUAAGAAAAAUUGAAGCAGAAUGUGAAGGUCUUAAAGCUUCACAAAGAUGUAAUCUCCUACAUAAGACAUGAAUCACAAAAUUCUACAAAGAUUUACUUGAAAUAAUUUCCUUACUUCAUGCAACAUGUUGAAAGACCAGUAGUCAAAGUAUCAAUUUCUAACAAAGUGACCUCAUCUGAAAAGGUUUACCUUAUAAGAUUUCUUUACAAGGUAUAUUUGUUCAAAACCAGAAAAACCAUAUGAAAAGAAAUAAUCACAACAAAGAAUUCAAACAAUGAACAAAACCAGACCAAAAGAUGCAACGAAUGAAACAAAGAUUCUCUGCAUUACAAACACCAAUGCAAUACAAUAGAACAGAUCCUUCAUAAACAACUUUGCAAUUCCCUAACUCAACAACUAGUUGAGAAAUAUUAAUCCACAUCCAGGCCCAGAAAGAAAAAGACAACAUAUCUCAUCAACCAUUAUCAACUGAACAAGGACCCUUUUUCAAAACUUAACAGAAAUCCUAUCGUGUUUGUUCAUCAAUACCAUAAUAAACUGUGCAAUAUACAUGUAUGAAUCAGCUGUUCAUUGAUACCAUCACAAAACAUCAAUCAUUUUUCCAAAACACACUAAAGAUGAUUCAUUUCAUACAGAAAUGACCACAAAGGUCAUUCUUUGACAUCAACCAUGUAAUCAUAAGCAUAAAACAGAUAAAACCCAAUUGAAAUUCGUCAAUAAUUAAAAAAGCUGACAUUGUAAGAAAAGGAAAAAAGGAUCACCAAGAUCAUACCUUAUUCUUGUCUCUCACCCCAACCCAAGAAGAGAAGAACCCUAGAAGGGGGAUGUAUUGGUUGCUUCAGAAAGAGUGGUGAUUUAUUAUGGGAAUAACAGCAAACGCGUUUGUUGCAACCAAAUUAUACCCAAAAAGACAUUUAUCAAAAACCUCUUUUUGCCGCGGAGAGAGAAAGUUCUAGAGAGAGAGAAUCUUUGAGCUCUAGAUAGAGGGACAACAAUCUCUGUGAAUAUGAUGUGUGAUUCCACGACAAAAACGCGCCAAUUAUAUAGGCCGUCUCUCCAUCAUAGUAGUUUAUACUCUUCGAUUUUUGCUUUUGUUUAUUUUCUUGCCCAGAAUUACCAUAGAAUAUUAGUGCGUAGAAUAUAUACCAAAUUACCAAUGAAUCCUAUGUAUAUGCUACAUUUGUGAAUGCCAAACCAUAUUCAUUUCGAUUUCAAAAAAAAAAAUCAUAUUCAUUUCAAAAUUAUACGAAUAUGCAAUGCACAUGCAUAUGAAUUAUUUUUCCAUAUAUUUGGAAUCAAUUACGCACGAAGAAUAAUCAUUUUAUGCAUAGUUGCAUACCAUGAGAAAGUAAGAACAUGAAAUCUAAGGGGUACGUCCGUACGUGUGUGUGUGCAUAUAUAAACUAAUUAAUAUUGACAUACCCAGUUUGGCAGUUUCAAGUAGAAAAGAUAGAGGUCCCUGGAGUCCAGGAAGAAACUUGACCAGGCUAGGGAGCAGCGAGAGAGUGCAGCUGUGAAACAAGUUAGACUAGAACUAGAACAGCUUCACCGUCUUCGAUUUAGCUUUAGUCCUUUUUGGUAAUUUCAUUUAAAGGGUGGACCCCUAAACCCGGCUCAGCCCACUAUAUCAUGACCGCCUAGGCCCGCGUCGUCUCUGCCUAGCCCGCAAAAGGCCCAAUUAGCACUAAUUAUUUUUUUUUUUUUUUGGCUGAAUGGCUAUUGGCGAAUGGCCACUUUGAGUCUCUCUGUUUUCCAGAGCAGCAAUGCAGGCGUCAACAACAUUGGCUUCGAAGCUGCUUACUAAUUAGUAAUUACUAGAGAUUCUGGGAAGCUUAUAAUUGUCUUCAUUUCUUCGUAUCGGUGUUCAUGGAGCGCCAUGUAUGUCCUCAUAUUAAACGGACUAGCCUUUUAUCUGUACAUAUUUGCACGGAAUCAUAAUCACAAUCAACUAAAGAUAAGUUUACCCUAUUGUACAGUUAUUCGUCUUACUAAUCAGUAGUUUUUAUGAUUAUUUAUUUAUUUAAUUUGUUUUGAUUUGUAUUUUGUUUUUACUAUAACAACCCUUAGUUUUUAUUUGUGUUAGUUGAUUCAUUAAGGAUAAUUAUGAAAGUUCACAAUUUGGUAAAGCUUUUAAGGGCCGGCUUUAUAGUAGUAGAGAUAUAUAUCCUGCAACAUUCCUUCUUGCUCUCUCAUCUCCUUCCUCUUCUCACUAACUAAUGAGCUCAGCUUACCAGAAGAUCCACAAGAUCGCAAUAGUCCAGCCAACCACCCACGAAACCGGCCAUGCCAAGAGCCUAGCUCUUCCACACUAAGUACUCUUCGAUCCCAUCUCGAUGUGUAUUAUUACUGUAUAAUGUACAGAACGUCAGACAUUGCUGAAACUAGGAGUUUGGUAGUGCAUGAUUGAUAUUGAAAGCAAGGCCAUGAUUAUGAUUCAUUGUCGAGCUUGGAUGGCUUAGAGCCUUAGAAGGUUAAGUACUUAUGGGGUAUAUCUACUCCAUGUAAUUUAACUUGCAAGCUUUACAUGCAUAAAGACCAAUCGUAUCGAUCAUUGCUUAUUUGCUAGCUAGGUAGGAUAUAUAUUGAAUGGUAAAUGACAUUUAACUCUACUUGCAGACUUAGAAUGCACACUGAUAAUAGAUAUUUACCCAAAUAGUGAAUCAUUUCCAUCAUUCCAUGCCAACUGGUUUCUUACUCGAAUGGAUUCAGUUUUACCUACUAAUAUAUGUGUAAAAGAGUGAGAUCGAAGAAAAGGAAAUGAAAUGAAAGAGGAACGUACUGUCUGCAUGUACUCGACUCAAUGACCACAUUUGGAAGUCAAAUGAAAAUGAGGGAACUGUGUUGAACAAAUUAACAUGUUUACUGUUUCAUGAUUGCUCAUGUUCCCCUAGCUUCAAGAAGUGCUUUUAGAGGAGACAAAUAAUCUAAGCUACGCAUUGAUUCAUUAUGUCACGUCUGUCUGUUUCCAAACUUGCAAAACCCUCUUGAUCUCCAACAUCAUUAUGAACCAAAAUAUAUAUCCAUAUAUAACUCCAAAAUCUUUGAGCAAUCUUCAACAACAAAAUACAAAGGGGAAAUUAUUGAUGCAAAAAGCAUGAUCCCGACUUAUCUUUAUAAGAAGAAAUCUUUGCAAUUAUCUUAUUAAUAAAUAUGCUUCAACUCAAUUUAUACCUGUUCAUGAUUAUCAUCUUUGUUUAUAAGGUUACUGCAUGCAUGCUUUGGUAUUACGCCAUGCAUUAAUCUCACAAUAAUAGGUGGUUUUUUUUUUUUUUUUUUAAGGGUUUUNNNNNNNNNNNNNNNNNNNNAAGCUCAGCCCUACGCCCGGUUCCAGUUAUUUUAUUGAAAAAAAAAGAAACAAAAGAGUACAUAAAGGGAGGGGGACAUAAACCAAAACCUCUCUAAAAAAAAGAAGAACAACACAAAAACCUAUGAUCUACUAAGGACAAAGAACAACGAAGAACAAAUUCGUUGAUGCUGCUGCCUAAUGAAUUACAAAUCAAAAAACCAAUAUAAGAUCAGAAACUAAAACAAUAGUUAGGAAAGCCUGUUAAAUCACAUGAAUAAGCUGUAAUUGCACAAGGUGGACAUGAAUCCCACCAAUGAACUCCCGCAUUAUCCGCACCAAAAUUUGCUAAGCAGUCGGCAACGCUGUUACUCUCCCGAUAAAUAUGAGAUACUUUAACAGUCAUAGUAGUAAGAAUAGUCCGACAGUUAAACCAUUCAGUAGUGAAACGCCAAGGAACAUCUACUUGAAAUGAAGAAAGAAAAUGAAUCACUAAAGUAGAAUCACUAAAGUAGAAUCACUUUCAAUCCAAAGAAAAUAUCAACCUCUCUGCGAAGCCAUUUGAAUGGCGUGAAUGACCGCCUGCAGCUCAGCUUCGAAUGCAUUAGCAAUGCCAAGAUUUCCUGAAAACAACCUAAAACCUGACCCAAAUGAUCUCGAAAAAUGCCACCAAAACCUGCCAGACCAGGAGAGCCACGAGCCGCACCAUCAGUGUUAAGCUUGACUUGAUAAAUAGAGGGAACAUGCCACAUAACUUCAACAAUUUUCGGAGCUUUAGAUGGCCUACCCUUAAUACCAAUGCGAUGUAAAAUGCAAAGCUCACCUACAGUAUUCUUCAUUGUAGCCCUUACUCAAAAAAUUAAUCUCAUGAAGUUGCAUCUUAAUAGAAUGGAGUAAGGAACCUGACAAUAUGAUUAACUCUUGAAAGCGAAGAGCAUUCCUUGCAUGCCAAAUAGCAUAAAAACCAGCUCCAAUCAUUCCCCACCAUAACAAAGUCAACUAAGAGCUAUAACCAUGACGUACUGGGUAGGUAAAGAAAGAAAUAAUAUUAUUGAAGACACCCCGAACCUGAAACAAAUCUAAAAGAUUCCCCCAGAUAUUAGUUGCAAAAGAACAAUGCAAAAAGAGGUGCUCUGCAGUCUCAACAGUAUUAUGACAGAGGGAGCAAACUGAAGACAAAUGGCAACCACGAAGUUGUCGAAUAUCAUCAGUAAGUAACUUUCCAUGCAUGUAUUUCCACAAAACUACUGAGUUCCUAGCACGAAAACAUGAAUGCCAAACAAACCGAGCCCAAGGAACUCUAGGAAGAUGAGGACGUUUUAAAUCAUAAGCAAGAGCUACUGUUAGCUUACCAUCAUUUGCAGACUUCCAAACCAACCUGUCCACGAAACCAUCUUUGAAAGGGAGAGUAAUCUUGAUGAUAUCUUCCCAAAAAGGCGCACACAAUGACUGUAAGUUAAUGGGACAAACCCAGCAACCAUUAUUAAUAAAAUUCGACAACUUCAAUUGUAGAGUAUUAGCUACUGAAACUGGAAUAUUCAAGCGCUCAAUGAUUGAAGAACCCAACCAAUUAUGAUGCCAGAAGUCAAGAGUUGUAUUAGAGCCUAUAAUCUAUUGUGAACCAUCCAAAAUAUCUUGGAAGAGAGGACGAAAACCAGGCCAGAUAGAAGAACGCUUGUAGUAAGUGCAUAAUAAUAUAGGUGAAUAAUAUAGGUGGUUAGGAUACCAAAAAUAAGAGAGUUUCUGCUCUAGAUAAAAGAUUAUAUCCAAUCACCAUUCAAUCGAGGAAAAAAACUACUAUUUUCUUUUAGAUCUGCUUGCUUAAACAAAGUUCCCUCUACUAUAUAAUAUAUAUAUAUAUGCCCUCGUCACCAACACCAUACCAAACUUUCUCACAUGCUUCUUAAUUAUUUCUUGUAUUUCAAUUAAUCUACUAAAUCAACCAGAUCAUAGCUCGCCGAUAAUUAACUAACAUUCUUUGUUCAUCGAGGAAAAACUUUGAAUUUCUUUUGAAAAGAUAUAUCCCCAUCUCGCCGACAAUCAAAUAACAUUCUUUGUUCAUCGAGGAAAAACUUCCAAUUUUUUUUAGAAAGAUAUAUCCCCAUCUGCUUGCUUAAACAAAGUUCCUGCUAUAAAAGCCCUCAUCACCAACACCAAACUUUCCCCACACCCCCAUCAAAUCAAACUCCACACAACCAAUAGAAAACCCAUAGACAGAACAAUGGUUUCUGAGAGGUACCAAUGCAAAAGUGUAUGUGUAAUUGGGGCUGGACCGUCGGGCCUUGUUGCUGCAAGAGAGCUGAGGAAAGAAGGUCACAGAGUGGUGGUGUUGGAACAAAACCAUGAUGUAGGAGGUCAAUGGCUGUAUGACCCAAAUGUGGAGGGAGAGGACCCUUUAGGAAGGAACACUACUAGUCCUACUACUAGUACUAAUUCUCAACAUCUCAAAGUCCACAGUAGUCUUUAUACCUCUUUAAGGCUUACAUCCCCUAGAGAGAUCAUGGGGUUCACUGAUUUUCCAUUUUCAGUUAAGAAGGGUAGAGACAUGAGAAGGUUUCCUGGGCAUAGGGAACUUCUUUUGUACCUUCAAGACUUCUGUGACUGGUUUGGGUUAAGGGAUUUGAUUAGGUUCAAUACUAGGGUGGCUUAUGUGGGAAUGCUGCAGGAUCAUGUAACGGGAUGCCAAGAUUUGAAAUGGCUCGUUAAGAGUGUGCAGAAGAAGACCCAGAUUGUGAUGGAAGAGGUGUUUGAUUCUGUGGUUGUUGCCACUGGCCAUUACUCUCAGCCUAGAUUGCCUUCCAUUAAAGGUACACUAAAUUCCUAUGAAUUUCUUUAUUUAUUAGUAUGAAACUUUGUUUUCGAUCGAUCUCUCCUUUCUUCUUUUCAAUCUUGUUGAUCGUGUUUAGGAAUGGAUUCAUGGAAGAGGAAGCAAAUGCACAGUCACAUUUACAGGGAUUCCAAGCCUUUCCGCAAUGAGGUAAUUGACCGGCAUGUAUUUGAUGUAUUAGAGUUUUUCACAAGUUCAUGUUUUUGACGUUCAAUAUUAAUUUCUGGUUCAAGGUUGUGGUUGUGGUUGGAACUUCACUAAGUGGGCAAGACAUAUCAAUGGAGCUAGUAGAAGUGGCAAAGGCAGUGUACCUCAGCGCAAGAUCCAUGAACAAAAUCUCUGAGGGCUUAUCAAAGGUCAUUUCCAAGCAUGAUACUUUGGAUCUUCGUCCACAGGUACUAACAAUCACAUCGAUCUCAUGGUUACACCGAAAGAGAAGGAAACCUCUAAGCUGGUUUAGUCCCAACUUAAUUUUCUUCCCUUUUCACCAUAAGUUUAUUACAUGUGUGAUGUUAGUGAUCACUUUUAACUGCACAAUUCAUAUGCAGAUAGAGUCCCUUCAAGAAGAUGGAAAGGUAUUGUUUGUGGAUGGUUCUUGGGUAAUUGCAGACACUAUCAUCUACUGCACAGGGUAAAGUUCCAUUCCAAAACUAUUUUGGUACUGUUUAGAAGACACAAUUAUAGAAACUAAAUGAUUGCUUAGGAAGCAAGCUAUCAAUGCCCUAAACUGUACCAACUUGACCUUGACUGGGAGAUUUUCUCGAUCUGGGUCCUUGAUAUGAAAAAUCCAGUGACUUCUAAGUGAGUUGUGACUUGUGUGUGGACCUUUGUGCAGGUAUUCAUACACAUUCCCAUUCCUUGACACCAAAGGAAUAGUAGCUAUUGAUGAUGACAGGGUGGGUCCUUUGUAUGAGCACACCUUCCCUCCCUCACUUGCUCCUUCUUUAUCUUUUAUUGGCAUUCCUAGAAAGGUAAAACUAAAAUUGACACAUCCCAAUUUGUUUUCUUCUUUUUCUUUGGCCACAACAUAUAUAGCUUUCAUGUUCAUCAUAUAUAUGUUCCAUCCAGAUCAUAGGGUUCCCUUUCUUUGAGUCACAAGCAAAAUGGAUAGCUCAACUGCUCUCCGGAAAAAGAACAUUGCCAUCAUGGGAGGAAAUGAUGCAGUCCAUUAAGGACUUCUACCACUCAAGGGAUGUUGCUGGCAUCCCAAAGUAUCAGACUCAUGAUAUUGCAGAGUUUGAGGUAAAAAUGUUGGUUACCCCUGAUAGUGAAAACUGAUAUUUACAGACUAUUUUUAAAAAUCUUUUAUACUUAAUUACCCACCGCAAUUCACGUUGCUUGCAUUCUAAGCUAUCUGUCUAGUAUCCUCUAAAAAAAAGCUAUCUCUAGUAGGCCUAAAUCGUUUUAUUGUUCUUGCAGUAUUGUGACAAAUAUGGAGAUCAUGUUGGGUUCCCACAUUUAGAGGAAUGGAGGAAAGAGCUUUGUCUUUCUGCCUUGAGAAAUUCCGAGACCAACUUAGAAACAUAUAGAGAUUCGCUGGAUGAUCAUGACUUGCUUCAAGAGGCUCUUCAGAGUCCACAUUUCACUCAACAAGAACAAGGAGCUCAAGAUUUUCCUCUGUAAAAAGCUAAAUUAUUCUUGGUUGUUUAAAUAUAUUACAUGUAUUUGUUGUUAUUUUGUUGAAACUUGAGAGGAAUUACUAUUAAAUAAACAGUAAUGACACAAGAAAAUAGCUUCUGAACAUUUGUGUUUGUAAGAAUAUCCUUUUUUGUUUACUCUAGUUGAAGUGACAAGAUUUUUUUUUCCCCCCAUAUGAAUUGUAACUAAAAAUGAAACCUUCUACAAAUGUUUGAUAAAUUUGACUGGAGAAAAAGAACUCUCAUAGUCCUACUAUAUCAGUUUGCCAUAAACACUACAAUGAAUAUAUCCUUCUGCAAAGAGGGGACUCUCAUGCAUGAAUGUCAGGGCUUACUUUCUGUGAGUUCUAUCCACCCCAGCUUAUAUACCCACCCACAUGUAUGAACUCUGAAGGUUUGGAGGACAUGUACAAAAACCAACCUAACAAGUGACACAAACCUCCCAGAAGAGCAUUAAUAAGAGACUAUUUGCCUUUCAUUUCCUAUACCUUGCUACCCAGAUUUCUCUGCCCUCUACGCCCCCUGGUUACCUCCCCCCAAUCAAUUAGGCUUCUCCUCUCCCUUUCCAAUUGCCGUUUAACACCAAUGUGAUUCAAUGGUGAUGCGGCAGUACUCUCUUUUACAUUGGAAGCAGAAAUGGUGCACUUCCUCCUCCCCCUUGUCAACCCAAAUUUAGCUGCAUAUCUUACUGAUCUUGUUUCGGAGCAAUCAGCAGAAGCCUCAAUUAGUGUUCCUAUGAUCUGAAGAUCCUCACUCACCUCACAUCUUGACAAAGAUUCAAGGCCCGGGAGAACUUCCUUUUGGAAGUUCUUCGUCCACUGCAUUCCUUUUCUUGGUCGACCCUUUUUUGGCUGACUUUGUGAUGAAGCUGUCACGAUCACUUCCUCUUUGUAGUCAUUACCUCUACAGCAGCAGCUCUCUUCCACCUUUUUCUCUGGUAGCAUCAAUGUCAUGGCCUCAAAGUAGUCCAUUCCAUCAGGUAGAACCACCUGAUUAUCAUCACAGCCCACCUUGUGUUCUAGACUGCCUAAAACUGAAGACGCUAAACCAGCAAACCACUUUAGGGAAUUAAAUAAAGUUUUAGUUGGUUUACCGGUGGUCCUCUCAGAACAAGUAUGACACACGGAUGAUGAAAUGGAAACCAAACAUUCUGCUGCAGUCCUGAACAUUUCCUCUUCCAGAUGCACUUCAUGUCCUGACAAUUGAACAGGUGUGCCAAUUUGUUUUUCAGUAGAGCCCAUUGGCUGUGAACACUCUUUGGUUUCCAGAUCGUCAUGUCCUGACAAUGGCAAAGGUGUCCAAAUAUGAGUUUCAUCAGAGUCCAUAGGCUGAGAACAAUCUUUGCACUCCAGAUCAUCUAGUCCUGAUGGUAAAUGUGUCUCAAAUUGAUUUUCAUCAGAAUCCAUAGUCUGAGAACAAUCUUUGUUUUCCAUGUUUGACAACGGAAAAGGUGUCUCAAUUUGAUUUUCAUCAAAUUCUAUGGGCUGAGAACACUCUUUGUUCUGCAGACCUCCCUGCCCUGACAAUGCAAUAGGUCUGUCAAUAUGUUCAUCAGAUUCUGUUGGCCCAUAACACACCAUACGUUCUAGAUCUUCAGGUACUGACAGUGGACAUGGUGCGUCAACUUGUUCAUCAGAUUCUGUUGGCUGAGCACACACCUUGUAUUGAAAAUCUUCCUGUACUGACAAUGGAAUAGGUAUCUCAACAUGAUCUUCAUCAGGUUCUCCUGUAGGUGGAGAAGACUCCUUGUUUUCUGGAGCUUCCAGUCCUGACAUUAGAUCAGGUGUGUCAACUUGAUUUCCAUCAGAUGAGACGCCUCUUGGUGGAGAACACUCCUUGUUCUCUGGACUAGCAGGUGCCUCCAAAAGGCUCUCUGUCGAAGGAGAUGAUAUUGCUGAAAACUCAUCUUCAUUUAUGGAUGCGUUCAGGUCAAUCUGAACUCCAAACUCAACAUCAUUUAUGGAUGAGUUCAGGUCAAUUUGAACUCCAGGACCAUCUUUCUUGAAUUUACUCUUUUCUACAUGUUCAUCAGCAGUUAAUUCUGCUUCUUUGACCCAUACCGAAUCAUGAGGCACAUUUAAAUCAAGUAGCACAGCUCUUUUAGAACCUUCAUGCUUUUCUGUUCCAAGUGUUUGGAAACUCUGGGAAACUGCCACAUCCAAAGAACAGCUAGAAGGCAUGAAAUUCAAGUCUAUGUCCUUUUGAGCAUUGACAUUUGCAGAAUCCUGCAUGUAUCUGGUCAUUCCAUGAAGUUCAGGCACUAAACCAUCUUUAACUCUUAUCAGAUUAUCACAACCAAUGGUUGGUGGCUGAUCCCCUGAGUUGUUGGAUUCUAAAUAAAAGCCAUUGAUAAAGCUACUGUCAGCGACCGUACCAUCAUGUGUUGUACUAGACCUCAGAUGCUUCUUUAACUGUAACCUUUCUUCCUCAAGCCCAGGCCUUAGUGUUGAUGAUUUACAGUUGUUACUGAGUGGUAUAGAGGUGUCGACAAUUGGGGUGUGUGCCAAGUCAUGUAUAGGUUUUCUUAAACCUGCAAAGCAUGAGGACCCAGAAUUUUCCAUGUAGUCACGAGGAAUAUGCUGAGAUGAUGUGCACAUCAAAUCUCCACUUUGUCCAGAUUGAUGACCACCUUUAGAACCAGAAUUUCUUCUGAGGUUCUGAACACCAAUCGUUGCUCCUUGACUCGAUGAUUUUUGGCAAUUGUGAAGCAGGGAUGACGGUUCAUGUUGCUUGAGCUUCUUAUGUAAUGAGUUAGAUGACGAGGACAAGUAAUCUGCAUAUAAGAAAGUAUUGAAGCUGCUUUGAAUUUUCCCUGAAAGGAUAAGUGCUUACCAUAUAAGAAAACUACGAGUUAUCAAAGCUAUGCAGACAGAUUUUAAGUGACUGACUUUCAAACUGACUCUGAAGCAUAUAUGAUAAACAACACUCUAAAAUUAAAAUGGGGAAACUUGAAAUGCUCACCAGCACUGUGAUUACAAGACAACAACAGCUCCUGUUUGCUUUUUGUGCCUUGCAGUAGAAUACUUGAGUAAGCCUCGAUGUCAGUGGGCCCCACAAAACGAUUGGAUGUAAAAUCUCUUUCUUCCUCUAGCUCAUACCGAUGAUUUAAGUCAACCAGACCUUUUUCUAAUGAUGCAGCACUUGAGGCAUAGUUGGGAACAGAGUUGAAUCCAUUAGUUGCAUAACCAUUGCACACAACCUCGGGAAUUUUCUUAGUAGGAUAACUUGAUACCUCAGCUGCUUCAGAAACCUUUCCAUCUUCUAACAGUUCCUCUUCUUCACUAUCAAUGUAUAUUGUAUCAGGUGGAAGUUGAAGGUCCCAGUUCUUCCGAGAUUUCUUGCAUUUAGAUUUCAAAAAUCUACGGUCUCCUGAAUGGUCUUCAGAUUGAACAGGAUAUGAGCAUGCCUGUAUGUUCCUCUUUUGAACAAAACAUGAAGGUAACUGGACAUUUUCAGCACCUGAAAUAGAUAAUUGACUGCAUGCGGGGAUGUUGAACGUCUUUUGAGUACAGACAAGCGAGGUUUGAGACAAAGAAGAAGUCUGCCUUGAAGCCUCAGUGCCCAGAUUAUGUUUAUCUAAUUCAUUCCUUGUCAUGCCCAUUAAUUCUCUCUGUCUUCCAUAUAGGCGGUGGAGGUCCAGAAUCUGGGUGUCACAAGACAUUUCAGGUAAGGUGUUAUUUGUUCAUGCCAUUAAUUGGUUGUGAAAAAUAUAUAAAAAUAAAUUAAAAAGCUAGAAGAACUGAAACUAAACCUGAAACAAAAAACAGAACACUCAAGUGUAAGUUCAUGUGAUGCUUUCAAGAACAAAAUUAUAUAUAGAUUAUGACUCAAUAUCUUCCGAUAACUCCAGUUAAUAUCUCAAUGAAACUAAACAUGCAGUAAAUUCUUUACAUGAAGAGUCGCAAUAGUAUACCUGAUUUUUAAAUAUCAUUUCUUGAUUGAGCAUUGUCUGCUUGAACUCCUCCUUGUAAUACCCAACAAGCUGGUCAGUAGUUAAAUUAUGAUUCCUCUCACUGCCAUUAGCACUUGAGUUAUGAUUCAUUUUGGGGAUAUAUACUGGGGGAAAGCUGUUACAUGGAACAUGAGCUUCCAUUUCUAGCAAGUCUGCGUGUAUUAAAGCACAAGUUUACUGAAUAACUCAACAACGUAUAAUCUCAGUUCUACAAAAAAGAAACCUUGCAACUAUCAACAAAAGUUAGAACUUUUUCGUAUUGUAUGGCAUUAUAAAGAGACUAAUUCACUAUGAUUCUUCCCAAGACUUUUUCACUGGGAGUUCUGGAAUUUCAAGGGUACGAGGCCUCAAUAACAGAUAAUGUGGAUGUCAGGAUUACUUACCCUGUUUAGAUCAAUUGAUAGAAAAUGGUUUUACUAGCUUAAACACAAAAAUCAUAGUCCAUCACUGAAGCACAUUUCAGAAAUUUUUCCAAGCAAAAAGGAAAACUGAUAUGUUUUUAAAUUCAGGCGGCCAACAGAAACAUCUCCUAAGAUAAUGCUGGUGAGCCAGAGGGAAUCCACAUCCUAGCAGCAGUCUCAAUGCUGGACAAGAUGCCGAUACUGAAUGGCGAAAGCUCAACCAACUCAUAUCGAUGUGUUAUAAAGGUUCCCACAUAUCUAGCAGAAAAAGUUUAAGAGUAAACCGAAAGGCAAUAAACAUACUCCAGUACUACUGGAAACAAAUCCAAAAGGCCGAAAAGCAUCAAGCAAAGUCGAUACCAGGCUAGAGUAAUCUACCAAAUGUUCACUAAUUAAUAAUUAGCAGCAGAAAAUUACAACUCCUCAAGAUCAAACAAAGCAUGAUUUUGGCAAGAUGGUCUUCGUUUUGAUCAUUAAUACACCCCCAUGAAGAAUCCAUUGGACUUUGCCCUCAAAAAGUGUAAACAACAAAUCAUAAAUUACAAGAGAAUCCAGACUCAGAACACCAAACGAAAACCAAAAAAAAAAAAAAAAAAAAAAAAAAAAAAAAAAAACCCAAAAAGUAUUCAUCAAACCAAAUACCCAAACAAGUGAGAACACUGAAGAAAAACAUAUAUCUCAUCUACAAAGAAAGCUUCACAGACCCAACAAUGAAACCAUCAAACACUGAAAAACGCACAUUCAUAAAUGUCCAUUAACAAACCAGAUAGAGAAGAUAAAACCGAGAGCAGAUAAAGAAAAAAAAUAGUGUAUCACACUUUUUCUCUUUUACAAAACCAAUCAAAGACGUAAGCUUUAAUCGCUGAAAAACGAAUCAAAACCCGUACCUGAAUUCCGAUGCAUGACUCCUCCUCAAAAACCCACAAAGCUUGAUCAUUCACUCAUUCCCAGUAUUCCAUUCAUGCUGGCUUGUUCUGCAACCCAAAACAAAGAACAACCCAGAAAACCAAAACCCAUGAACAUCAGAAGAAUCAGAACAGAACAGUAAACCAACACAGCUCAAAGCAUCAAAAGCCAGCAUUUUGGGAAAUAAAAUAUAAUAAACAUGGAAGCUUUGGGAUCCCAAUGGGCCAUUUUUUGACGAAGGAAGAUUUAGAGAGAGAAAAAGAAAGAAUUAGUACCCAGAAAAACUAAAUACACAUGAGAAAGAGAGACAUGAGAGAGAGAGCUGUCCUCACCCAUCGUGUUUGUUUUUGGAUUUUUGAGCAAGUGGGGAUUGUCUUAUGAGGGCUCUCUAGAUUCUCUCAGCCAUUUCUGAAAAUAAAUAUUUGGUCAUUUUUCGAUAUUAUUGGGAAAAUCAGACAGUACCUGUAGGAGAGAGUAUGCAAACCGGAUUUUACUGACAGUAGUACCAGCAGUACUGGUGUAGCUCCAUAUAUAUAAAGAAAAAUCAAAAUUGCUGUCAUCUCCACCUAAAGAAUCUCUCUUUCAGCUGAUCAAUGGAGAAAAACAAAAACACAAACCCAAGAAUUAAAUUAAAAUUGUUUUGUUGCACGAGCGUUUACCUCGGAAAUGUAAUCUGUGACAAGAUGUGAUUAAUUUUAGGAGUAAAUGCUUCUGACAUCCUGUAGUUUAUACCUAAAAUCAGUUUUGUCCCUCAGUUUUUUUUUAAACUGGUAUACCUUUAUACUUUGAAUUCUCGACUGAUUUGCUUUUGUCGUCAAUUGACCGUUAAAGAAGACUGUUAAGUUGCUGAGAUGACCGGUCCUGCAAUUCCAACUCAGCUAGAAACCUGCAACAUCGACAUCAGCUUUGUGAGACGAGCUCGAUGCUCUCCAGCUUUGCAGGUCCUUCGGCAAGCCUCACCGGCGGCGCCGACGAAGAGGCCUUCGUUGUCGUGGCCGCAGCCGAGGGCGACUUUAGAGCGGCGGAAGGUGAGGGUUUUGGUGGAGAAGUCGCCGAAGGUGAAGGAGUCAUCGCCGUAGGAGACUUGGUAGAGGCAGAUUUUAGACUUUGAGCUGCAGCCGGGGGAGUCGAGGUGGCGGCAGAGAGGGGAGGAGCAAGGGAGGGAGGAGAAGGAGGAGGAUUUUCUCGGGUCGAAAACCGGGUCGGUUUGGGAGUAUCAGCGUUUACAAGGAGCGCAUUGGAGCCAGAUGACGUCGGAGCCGGUGUCGAGGACCAUGUAGAGGUAUUUGGGGGGAGAGCCGACGCCGAUGCGGGUGAAAUACUCGCCGCUGUCUUGGGAGAGGCCGGAGACGAUGGAGGAGCUGAACCGGGAGGAGGGUGGGCCGGGUCGGGUGCGGUUGUAGGCGAGGGAGGUGAGGGAGUUGAAGCAGAGGGAGUCGCGGCGGAGGCGGAGGUGGAAGAGUUGGGAGGGGGUUUGGUUGGAGGAGAGGGCGUUAAGGUGGUGGAGGAGGGAGGGGAGAGGGAAGAUAGGUCGGAGUCGGGUUCGGAUGUUUCUGAAAAGGAUUCGAGUUGGGAGAGAGAGGGGGCGGAGGGGGAGGGGGGAGAGGGAGGAGGGGUGUGGUGGUCAAGGGCAGCGGAGGNNNNNNNNNNNNNNNNNNNNAAGUGGGGAGAUGAGGGAGAAGAAGUGAGAGAGAGAGUGUCAACAUGUUAGCCACGUCAGCUACAUAACGGGUUCAAUUGACGACAAGGGCAAAUCAGUCGAGAAUUCAAAGUAUAGGGGUAUACCAGUUUAAAAAAAAAAAGUGAGGGACAAAACUGAUUUUAGGUGUAAACUACAGGGUGUCACAAGUAUUUACUCCUUAAUUUUGUAAGUAUACAAGAAACGGUUAUAUGCGUUACUUAGUCAACAUGUACAUCAUUAAAACGUGAGUUGUUUUUAAGAAGACAAAAAUGAUUAGCUUUCCACGUCUUCAUUCAGUGAACCAAACGAGACUUGAAUGAUAAUAAAAUAAAUAUAAAUUAACUGUUCUCGGGUAAAAAAUUUAUGUUAAAAGUAACCGUUGUAAUGUAUUUGUUUAUCAAAUUGAAAAUUUGAAUAAACUCGAAUGGAUGGACAAGAACAACCAGUCAUUUUCCUUAUAGGAAAACAAUAGUUCUUAACUUCAUCUCAAGACACGUGAGUCAUGACAAGUCAAGCUUGGUAAGUUGAAGUUAUCUCUCAUUUGGUUAUUUCUACAAAUAAAUUCAAAAAUGUAGAACUAAUCAUUCAUUAAUAUGUUCCCAAAAACAUGACACGUUUAAACAACAUUCUAAUCAACCCCUUGAUCAUGGUUGCUAGAACCUCAUAAGUUCAUAACUAAUAAAGACUCAAUCCUCACAACUAACACGACACAAGAAGAUUAUAACUUUAUUAACUUGUUAAUCUAAUGAAUUAGUUACAAUGUUUGCAUCACAUCUAUCUUGUCACUAAACAAAAUAUCAAGAAAAGAAAUAAAAACAAAGAAAAAGGACUAAUUGCUAUAAUUGAGGAGAAAAACAAUGGGAAAAAUACAAGAAAGAAAGACUUCCCUCAAAAGCUUCUAUAUGGAAAAGGACAUUGUAAAGCUUAUUGGAAACUUUUGUUUAUAUGAAAGUCAAGAAAUGUAGAAUAAGGUUUCAACUUGGAGCUUAAGAAACCCUAAUUAAUGAUCAAUUAUCUUUUUAUUUUCCUUUUUAAGAGAUAAGGAUAAUCCUUGUGAUAGAGUUAGUUAUGCAUAGAUAAUGUUUGGCCUUUUACAAUGAAAAAAGAGGCAAAAAGAUGGUCUCAAUAUGUAAAUGUAAAUAUGAAUAAAGAAUGAGUUAGUGUUGUGUGAAUAUAUAAAAGCCCAAGGGCCUUAUUUGCAAAUAUAGUAAAAUGGAGGGUUGGAAAAACGAAUCCUCGGUAGAAGGUUUGCGUUUUAUGGGGAGAAAAUAUGCGGCGGGCCCCACUCGUCCAAUCCCCGAUGUCGAUUUGCAUAGCAAGUCUUGGACUUUCCAAUUUUUUAUUCUUAUUUGGGUUGCAAUUACUGAUGUGUCAUUAAUAAUGGAGGAUGACGAUAUUACCCCCUUGACGUCACUCUCUCGUGCGUCUCGCUUUCACGGGCCACAUUUUCUUUACCUCUUUUGGGCUUUUUUUAAAUAAUCUAGCUAGUUAUUAUGGUAACUUUGAGUAAACCCUAUUACUUUCUCCUAAAAAUGUCAUGUGAAAUUGGGUGAAUGUGGCUAUCUUUCUCUUGUUUUGAAUGAUAUAGGAUCUAAUAUAGUGAAACAUGAUAAAAGAUAAAGUGUAGAGACAAAGAGAUAGCAAGAGAGUCAUCAUUUUAUUUAUUGAUAGGAGCCCUUUAUAUAGGGAAUUACACAAUACCAAUAUGGUAAGGAUAUGAAUACAUAGAUCUAGUCUAACAACAUAUCAUAUUGGCAUAAGGCCAAGGCACACAUAGAGAACAUCCUAGAACACUUCCCCUUGUGCCGCGCGCUGAUAUGCCGAUGGUGCUGAUCUGUUGCCUCGUCAAAAACCUCGUCAAGUCACAAAAACCCUGUGGGAGAAAAACUGAACCUUGAUCGUAGGAGAAAAAGAGUACAACGCACCCUUCACAUUUAAUAGUGACAUGUAUGUAUGUGCUAGACUCUCCCUGAAGUUCACACCCCCCCUGAUCUUUACAUCAAUCAUAGGGCUCUUCCUGAUUCUUACUAAUCACGGAAGUUUUAACAACUUAGCAUGUCAAUGCUUUUUAACAUGUCUUCAAAUGUGGCAUUGGGCAAUGAUUAACUAAAUCAUACCGUAUUGUCCUCAAAUGAUCUUUUACACUUAGAUCUUGAGGAGAAGGUUGCUUGUGAACUCAAAACAUAAGUUCGUGCAGGAAAUCAGAUUUCCGCCAAGCAUGACCUUCAAUUACUAGAACAGUCGUAACUUCCUCUAGGAAAUACAUAUGAACGAACCGUAAAUGUUUUUGGAAACUAGACUCAUUUAGCUUUCCAACCGUAUAUUACACACAUUCUGGUUCAUCAGGAGCUGUUCACAAAGUCCCAUCGAAGUUGACUGUUUUGCCAAAAUCAGAUUCUCGGACAGAUUCGAUUCGUCCUACUUUACGAAAACGGCCAUAACUCACUCAAUAUGAUAGGUAUGAUCAAAUGGUUGGUGUCUCUGGAAAGUAGACACAUAGACCUUUCCAAUGGUACCAAUUUCACCAUUUUCCAGUGAGUGAGAUUUCCUAUAGGUCCCGUGGAAGUUGACCUACAAAACUUGGCAGAUUCUGAUUUCGCUUUUGAUGUGUCUUUCUUAUGUUGGGAUAGAAUAAGCCUCAACCUUUCAUACCAUUAAGUAUUAAAAAAGGAGUUACUGCCAUUACAUUGGCGUUGCGUGGGCGCAUAGCUACACUUAGCUUUACAACUUUUCAUAGCGAAUGAGAUGUCAAAUCUUUCGUAUUGUGUUGAGUACAUUGAUGCGUCUUAUUGUACUUAGAUGGGAACUCUAUCUCUUAACACAUAUUUGUCAUCUUGCUUUAGACAAAACAACGGAUCUCUCUUUAGAGCAAAGAACUGGACUAAUCAUGGGAGUAUAUGUAGGCCUCACUAGUUAUAGAGCGCCUAAGCCGAUUGAUGGAAAAUCAUCAUCAAUACAGUCAUCGAGUGCCUUAUCGAGACCAUGUCUUCCCAAGAUCUUUUUCUCCGGAUGUUGAUACACAUUGGCAUCUCUUGAUCCAUCAAGAGUCCAUGUAAAUCCGAAAUGAACACGCAAAGGCAUAAUUCACCAUAUCCCUUCCAAAUCAAGUAGAAUCCAUGUGCGUUUCAAUACAUUUAGCAAACGCAUGCUCCUGUGGUUUGGAGCCACUUGAUUCGGAUGAAUGAAGUCAGUUUAAGAUCUUCAUGUAUAUCUCUGAUCCCAUAGAGAUGUUAUUAUGACCACAUUCAUAGGCUGCAUGUUCAGUUAUUUGGAAACUACCAAACUGACAAAGUAGUGGAGUUCAAUGACAUCCAUUACGAGAGCAUAUCUCAUCGUAGUUGAUCCCAGUGCGUGUUAGUGAAAGACUUUGCGCCAUAAGGUGAGUCUAAGCUCUUACUCUCACUACGCUAUCUAACAAAGGCAUAGUUGAUAGGGUUUAGCUUGCGGUGUCGGCAUUACCUGCCCAAGGACCUAUCUCUUUGUUAAUGCUGGAUCGUAUCUUUCCAUUAGGCCAAUCAACUAAGUUGAUAUCCAUCAACGAAGGGUGGUUCGAUAGUAGACUCAUUAUCUCACGUCCUCAUGUACACUAGUGUAAUACUUGUAGAGAUCUCUAUAUGGAUUGGAUUUGACAUUGAGGCGUCCCCUAACGAUAAUCACAAUUCAGACUUCAUGAGACGGAUUUGAGUAUCACUGAUCAAUGGAUCAGGUUGUGCCAAGCUCGCUUUCUUUCUAGUGCAAGACAAUAUCGAACCUAAGGGCCUCCCUCCUUUUAGGGAGCCACACGGCCUUGUGACACCAAUUUUGCCACUAUAUGGCAUCACCAUAUCACCAUCCAUGGUGAUGGCGUCAAGACCAACACUUUUUGGUCGCGCCAUGUCCUUUUGUAGGACAUCAAUCCUUACAGACAUAUUUGCAGCAUGUGAUCUCGUCACUUUAACACUAUAAGCAUUUGGGAUCAAGAUGAGACUUAGUGGGGACAAACCACGACAAUUCACGUCGUUCCAACUUGAACACUUGUGUUCUUAUCGCCCCCUAACGGCGGGAAUAUUGUCUCAUCAAAGUGACAAUCCGCAAUUUAGCGGUGAAUGAGAUCGCCUGACAAGGUUCCUACAUAUGCGGAUUAUAGGUGGAGGUUCAUAUCCAACCUAAACUUAUUCAUCUCAAAUGACCCAUCAUUGUACGCAGUGGCAAUGCGAUUUGGCACCUAGAAAUAACAUCUAGCCGAGCUCAAGGAUUGGAGAUCCGUUUCAAUCCUACCGAGCUCAAGGAUUGCAAUUUCGUGUCAAUCCUGGUACACAGUCACGAGUUGUAGUACAACAAAAUUCAAUGAUGGUGGGUCGUAGAUGAAUAGUAAAGCUGCAUGCAAAUAUUGCAUAGCCCCAAGAUGCAAUAGAAAGAGUGGUGCGCAUCAAUAAUGUUCGAGCGACAAGCUAAAGUUGCUUGGUCGUAGCCUCGGUGAGACCGUAUUGCGUGUGAACAUGGGGUACAUGACACUUCAACUUACAUCCCGAUGAACUUCUUUAAAGAAUAGGUAGUGAGCCCGUAGAAGUAAAAGCAGUAGAAGCAGUAGAUAAUAGUGUAACACGUGACCAGUGUGUUAACACGUCAACCAACACCAUAAAGUAUAAAAAGGUGUCCGCAAGUUGGUUGUAUCUAUCUACAUAGUUUGAUGUAAGAAUAGAAUGUUCACUUUUGUGUUAUUUAGCGUAGGAGGGUCUCACUCCUUAUUUAGCGUAAGAGGGUCUCACUCCUUAUUUAGCUAAAGAAUAGGCUUUCAAAACGAGCAAUGAGCAUUGCAGGGGGCCAAUGCGACAUCGAGGAAAGGCCGGUGCACCUCAAUUGCUUGAGGAAUUGACCGGACGACCUCCAGGAAGUUGGAGUCGUGUUCGGGUGACGUCAAUGUCCCCCGGGUCACCACCAUGCUUCAUGGUGAUGCUAGAUCUCGAAUGUCUUCGUUUUGAGCGGAAGAAUGGAUGUCCAUGAGAAUUUCUCAAAAAUUUGGACCAUUAUAUCUCUUCCAGGUUGACCAAAUUUGGUCAAACCAAAGCCUAUAUGAGUCGGUGUCCCAAAUAUCAUGUUUGGCGACAACAUGGGAUUCGAUAUUCGAAUCGUAGUGACAUACAGUUCACUAGAUUGACUCAUGAAUUUCUCCAAGAUGCGCUUCAGUUCGCAUUCAUGAGGAUGUAUACACAAAAGAAUUCUUGUUCAUUCUCACAAUGUGUUUUCAAAUGAAAACCAUUAGCAUGAAUGUCUUUAAAGCUCAACAUGGUUCCUUAGAAUGUUGUGGAUAGUUCCACUAUCUGCGAAGCACUCAAUGUCUCUAUGAGACAUAACUACAAGGAGUAGAUAGGCGAGUAAAUAGUUCUACUUGAACCAUUUAGAAGGAUUGAAAGAAGCAACGAAAAGCUGCAAUCCCGAGAGUGCAUAAAAAUUUUCGCGCAGAAUGACCUUUGCGCACUAAAACAGCCAUAACUUCUUCGUUAAAAUAGAUAUGGACGAACCGUGAAAAGUUCUGAAAACUAAACUCAUAGAGCUUUCCAAUGAUAUAAAGCUCACUGUCUGGUUCGUCCGGAGCUGUUCACAAAGCUCAAACGAAGUUGACUGUCCAGAACGGACAGAUUGCUGUUUUUCGCAGAUUUGGCAUGUGCGAAGCUGUGAAGCUUGCAGGUGGCGUGUAGGCUUUUGCCUUAGCCAAAAGUGACGUGUGUAUGAUCAAAACCAAGUCCUUUCGAUCGUUCUAAGGUCGUAAACUCCAUGACUAGUUAGCAAAAGCUCCCUGACAUGAACAUAAACUAACUCAGAGGACCUAGAGGAUCCGAUUAUGAUGAUAAUUUUCCAGCUUUGAUAAGUCUUCAACGUCUUUUGCAAGACGGCAAUUGGUUUAAUAGCGUAGGGGGAUCCAAAAUCAAAAGCUUUCUGUAACUCCAAGUCAGUAUGACCAGGCAUGUCCGUGGAGGGUCGGUAGUGCGAGGCACACUUAAAACCACUAUCUCCUUAAUUUCGGACAAUUCUAAGACAUCACAUUGAACUUGGAUGAGCCUAGUUGAACAAUUGAUGAUGAAAAAUCCGCUAUAGGGUAGAAGACUUAACCGAAAACACGUGGGCGAUCCUCCUUGAGGAUGCAGUGCCAUGAGUCACCUUCAAAGGGAGGGACCAAAAUCGGCACAAUAUGCCAUGUUUCUAAGGACGAUGUAAGUGUACAUCUUGAUUGUAAAUCAAUAUGAACCAUAAGAGGAGAAUAGUUUCACUUCAAAAAAUUCUCAAGGCAUUCAUUAUUGCUAAUGUGAGUACAUCAAGGUCUCAAAUAGACAAAGGACGUCGAUACAACGCCUUAGUACAUAUAACUUGGAACGAAAAUCAAUGUCUAGCCAAUGAAAUCAAAGUACAUGGUAGCUAGAGCAGGAUCCGAAUCUUUGAAAUUCGCGAUCAUGAGGAUGACGUUCUUGUNNNNNNNNNNNNNNNNNNNNCUUUGAAAUUCGCGAUCAUGAGGAUGACGUUCUUGUCCUACAUAUUGAUUUUCCAUACCUUUUUGUAUGCAUUCACAAUUUAAAGGAGCUUGACAAUCUUGAACCAGUGAUCCGAAGAUCCACAACGGUUGCAUUAAUGUCAUGAGCUGACGUGAGUAGUUUUGACAAAAUGGUGUCUAGACUGGGAGUGUCGCUAUUAGAGCCGGCAACACCUCCCCCUCUUUUCUAGACAUCGGCACGACGUUUUCUACCGUUGUCAUGACCCAUAUUGUUGUCCCCACAUUAGGGGAUAAUCCCAAAUAAGUUUAUCACAUUAACGUAUAUACAAUUCUUGUUUGUAUGAUCAAAAUCAAGUCUCGUUGGUAAUUCCACACCAACUUGGAGGACCUAGAGAACUUGAUGAUGAUCGAAUCCGCUAAAGAUUAUGGAUCAUGAUGCCACAAAAGAUCAUCGACAAUAUGUAGUCAAUUAAGGUGGUAAGCAAUCCACUUGACUAAUAACUCAACAAGGAGAGUUAUAUGAACGUUUCGAGAAACGCUCCAUGAGUGCAUUCCACAGUACUUUAUGGUCAUUACUUUUUGCACAGAUUGCCAUUGAAGGCUUUUGUUGAUGUGGCGCGUCAAAGACUUUGAGCGCAUGAGAUGUGAAAUCUCGGCAUCUAGGCUUGUUAGCCUGGAGGUCAAAACAUAUGGUUUAAUCCUUUCCAAUGAAAGGUUCCACAGAUACCAAGCGAAGAUCCGCCUUAGGCAUCUAGUACGUCAAAACUCAAAGGAGCAGAAUGUUACAUUGCUCUUGCAUACAAAACCAAGCUGUUAUGAGACUCGAUAGAGGUCACAAACGAUGCUUUUAAUGGUUUGUCCUUCGGAUUGAUCAUACAUAAUCCGGAAAAGCCGCGAAUUGAUCAAACACAAUUCGGAAAAAGGCCUUGGAUUGAUCAAACACAAUCCGGUGAAAGGUCGGAGCUGAUCAAACACAACCCGGACAAAGAAACAAGAGUGAUCAAACACACUCUUGACCCGCGAAUAAAAUUCCAGGAUUUGGGUACCUGCACGCACAAAAUCCCAAGCAUAGAAUGGAGAUGGAGAAGGGAGGAAAGGAUUUUAUCCUCCCCGAGUUAUUGAACUUGGAAAAGUUUAAGGUUUCAAAAACAUACCUUUCUAGAGGCUGCCGAGAGGAGAAAUAACGUUUCGCCUACUUAUACUUCGAAUUUGGGGCUGAAAAUUUGAUAGCAGCUCUGGAUGGGGAAGCUGCUGUCAAAAUUUCAGGUUGAUCGGAGCAAGGGAAGGUGGUGAACCGGUGGUCGGUAGCGACGGCGGUCUGGAAUCUUUGGGCGGCCGGUUCGGAGACUUUCCGGCCGGUUCUCAGGGUGAGACCGGCGGCGUUGGAUCCGGGGCGGAGAGAGUUUUCUGGGGAUAUAAAAUUCCGGCGGAGGGCAGUCGGAAUUUUGGUCGAAAAUCGGGAAAAACAAAGCUGCCCGAUUUUAGGGUUUUGAUUUUUAGGGUUUAGAAAAAAAAUGGUGGGCUAUUGGCUCUAGGGUUAGAACAAAGUGCAUGAUAACGUGAUAAAGGAUAAAGUGUAAAGACAAAGAGAUAGCAAGAGAGUCAUCAUCUUAUUCAUUGAUAGGAGCCCUUUAUAUAGGAAAUUACACAAUACCAAUAUGGUAAGGAUAUGAAUACAUAGAUCUAGUCUAACUACAUAUCCUAUUGGCAUAAAGCCAAGACACACAUAGAGAAUAUCGUAGAACAAAACAUGCUUUUUCGACAUGAAGUUCUCACACGAGAAAAGAAAUAUGUCACAAGAAUACAUUGUGGGAACGAUAUUUACCAAGGAUUGAGUUAUUAGUGACAUAAGACUUAUAUAUCAAUGAAAAAUAUUCCUUUUGAUGAAUGAUUAGCCGGGUGAUGUGGAUUGUGAUAUUGAUAGAAUGGAAUGUUAGAUUAUAGGUCAUAGUGAUUAUAAUUACGACAAACUAGUAGGUUGUUGAAAUGAUGGUCAAUAAAUCAUAAAUCAUGUGAUUGUGAUGCUUGUGACAUAGUCAUGAACUCAUGCUUGGUAGAGGAAGCCAGUGUUGUUGAUCUGUUUGGAAAUGGCCCAAUACUUCUCAUUCAAAAAUCAAAUGCUGCUGCAGACAUUAUAUAUUGGGCUUUGCAUGCAUUUGAGAUUAUGAACUUGUGGGCGGAUGCUUGAUGGCCCAAGGACCCAAAUCAAGUUCAAAACUCAUUGUAGUAAUUUCAUUAUUGAUGAAGGUUUUCUCUUUGAUACCAAACCAAUAACAAUGACCAUCUAACCACCACUGCCAAUAUAUGGACAAAUUCUCUUGAAGUGUGGAAAACGUGGUAGACAACUAGACAUGCCUUGUGGCCAAUAGACUCCCAGGAAAAGCCAUGGGUCACAUUAAGCUACCUUAAUAACCACUAUGGAUGGUCGGACUGUUAGCCCUACAUGGAAAAUGACCAAUUGAUAUUUGAUAAUAUGGCAUGUGCAUCAAGUCCCUACCUUGUUUCAUUCUUCAUUCUAAGCUUCAAAGCAAUGACAGGAUUGACAGCUAGUCUCUACUUACCAGAUAACUCUGAUACAUACUCCACCUUGUUCUCAUUUCUCAAACAAGAAGCAAAUUUCAUAGAUCUUGUAAACAAAAUAAGACUCGACUCAAAACACACUUGGAAAAUGAAGUGUAAUCAACCAAUACAUAAAUAGAUAUAGAGAAAGGUGGUUCUUCAAUGCUAGCUAGUUGGUUGAAGCUGCAGCUGGUGUUUGGUUGGAAACUGGAUACUUCCUAGCAUUCUUGACAAUCUUACUGAGUGCUGCUUGUCCAAGAUCAAUGCCGCAAACAUCGGCAAGCUGGAUCAGAUAGAGCAGCACAUCAGAGAGCUCCUCUCCUAAAUGUUCUUUGUCAUCAGAACUCCAGUUUGGUAGUCCUCUUGCAACUUCACCCUUCCACUGGAAGAUCUCAGACAGCUCCCCAACCUCUCCAACCUGCAGGAUAAUAUAUAAUUUAUAUAAGUAUAUAUAUAUAUAUAUAAACAAAAACAAGAGGCUUGAAUUGAGUUAUCUAAUAUAGUUUGAUAAUUACUUACUAGUGCUAGAAGAAGAUUUCUAGGACUGUGGUAUUGUUCCCAAUCUCUAACUCGAGAAAACUCAGCAAGCCUGUCUCUCAGUUCCUGAAGUGAAACAUCUUUGUUUUCAUUUCUUGAAAACUCAUAGGAGCUCCCCAUUUUCUCUAAAUUCUACUCCUAGCUAGCUCUCUUUCAGUCUUUCCUACACUUUGCCUCAUGCACAAGCAGCACAACCAAAUAUAUAAAGACAGAAUAUAUUUGGAAUUUUUAAUUGAAACUAAAAUGCUAUAGUGGAGGGGUACUUGAUGGAAAACUUAAAACAGUAAUGAUUUCAGGUAUGACAAAGAUGUCCAUUCCUAUCAUUCAUGACUUGAAAUCAUUAAAAAACAAAAAAAAAAUUACUAGGAAUGUGUCAUCAGUAGGUGCAAAACUUCAAGUAGGCAUUUUAGGCUUUAGCUCAUUUAUAGUCUCAUCUAUACCUCCACAGUCCACAGAAUAUAGUCUCAAAUCCUUUGGAAUCCAGCUUUGUUCCUCCAGAAUUUUGGAUCUAUACUCCCACCAUAGAACUGACGGUGAAUUUUGCUUGCAAUCACGGAUUUCAAGAAUCGUAAAAGAUUUUGUUUCUCUAUAUGAACAUCAUUGGCUUUAUGUUUGCUUCUGUAAACCCGGAAAUUGCGAUUCUAGUGUGGAUAAACAUGAAAACAAAGCAUUCAUGUCCCUAAUCGUAUGAUUUUGAAGCCAGCUAAGACCUACUGAAGGAAAUAGUGUUUUGCUUGCAUAUGCUUUAAGCUUGAGCUGAAUUUACUUUUACCCUGUCCUGAUCUCAACGAGUACAGAAGUGAAAGAAAGCUAUAGUUGCCACAAUAUCACAACAGUACAGUGGUGCUUCCAAGAGCAAAAUGCUGGAACACUAAACUUAGGCUUGAGCAGAUGUUAGGUGAAAACUACAUGUUUAUAUACAGUACAUGACUACAUGAAACUGUUAUUAUUCGUAUCUGAAUUGCAUGGUGAUUAUUGUUGGAUUCAUAUUCAUAUGAAAGAGUGUCGGCAUUUUCAGAACCAUUGUCUGUAGAUUCAAUACAUAACAAGUAUGAGCUCCGAGUCACCAUCAAUCUGAUUCAUCUUUCCAUCAUACUUGAAAUCAAAUGAACAGUUCAAUUCUAUUUUCAAUCAAAGUAGACUUGAAUUGAAAAAAGUAAAUAAAAAUUUCAUGUCAGCCUCAAGUUUUAGAUUUUGAAAUGAUUGAAUUCAAGAAUGUUCACUUCUGCUGUGUACUUAUAGCAUAUGGACAUGAGACUCUUUGUAUUGCUCCCCUGUACUUCCAGUAAGUAGAAAAAAGAUUGAUAUGUACUUCAAAUCGCUCUUUCUUUGAAACUUCAGAUGCUAAACUUAACAAUUUGCUUUCCAUAGUCCUGUAUGAAUCUUUGUAAUAGCGAUUGGUUGAGGCUUCCCAACUUUGGUUUAUGUUAGUUUUCUUUGUUCUGUUACGAGUUUUAGGUUUGUUGUUUGUUUUCGGUGGGAGUAGAGCUAGGUCUUUCCUACUAUGGUGUACUAUUUCUUGAAUCUUCAAAUUGGGAAAUCUCCAACUGAAUAGCUAUUCACUUGUAUCUCUCUACAAAUGUUAUCUCAUCGAGGUUGGAAAGUCAGUAAAAGACUAAUAGAUAAAUAAAAAAUCUGAGCCUUUUGUAAGGAACAAAUUUGUACUGCACUGCACAACAAAAUGAGCAAUUAAUUUUCAGAACCUGUGGCUUGGUUGGGACUUGGGAGGUCUCAAGUGUUCUUAGGUCUAAGAGUGAUCAACAGCAAUGUACAAGCUCAUUUGAAAAUUGAACUCAGAAUCUGAAAAAUCAAGAAGAGCUAAUGGGCCAAACUGAGUUGAUUCUCUGUAACAUAAUGAAUGAUAUCUAUUUGCAAGAAGAGCUACAGAAACAAAUUCUAUGCACACAAAUGUGAACUAUAAAACAUUUUUAGCAUUAUAUAUGGACAUUCCCUAAUAUUAAAAAUUAUCAAAAUGAAGGAGGAGAACCAUAACUAAAAUCCCCUUGGAGAUUGACUAUCUUUAUAAGCAUAGCUAAAACUUCCUUCAUGUUUGGUCUGGACUGUGGUGCCUCAGCUGUGCACUUUAUGCCAACCCUUAGUAACUCACACAUCUCUUCAGCCCCAUCAACUAGUCCAGACCCCAUAAGCAUAACCGGCAUCACAGAACGAUUGAAUCCUAGCCGGCCAUUUCCCAUCACCCUUCUGGCCCAUUCCACUAGACACUCCUCUCCUCCAUCCACUGCUCUCCUCCCAGUUGCCAGUUCCAUUGCUAGGACUCCAUAACUGUACACAUCGCCUUUCGUUGUGGCUUGCCAUGUCUGCCCAUAUUCUGGUGCAACAUAACCAACAGUCCCAGCCACCAUUGUGCUCACAUGACUAUCCCCUGCAUCAACAAUUCUAGCCAGCCCAAAAUCUGUUACUCUUGCCUUCCCAUCCUUAUCUAGCAGCACAUUGCUAGCCUUCACAUCACGGUGUACAAUAGCAGGGUAGCACUCGUGGUGUAGAAACAUCAAGGCUCUAGCCACAUCCACUGCUAUAUCAAUCCGCCUGCGCCAUCUUAGUCUUACUUUGUCACAUAUAAUAUCCUCCAAGCUCCCACCUUCCAUGUACUCAUAGACUAAUAUUUUCUCUGAACCAUCAUGACACCAGCCAUGAAGUUGCACAAGAUUUGGGUGAGGCCAACCAAACCCAUUUCCAGUAAGAACUUCCAUCUCAGCUCGAAAUUCCCUUUCGCCUUCAAGUCCUUCUCUUUGAAGCUUCUUCACUGCUACUUCUCUACCAUCAGGCAACACUCCUUGGUACACAGUUCCAAACCCUCCCCUCCCUAUGAUCCUCCCUUCUGAAAAGUUUCCUGUGGCCUUCAAAAUGUCAGCAUGUGUGAAAGCUGUUUUGUCCAGUCGAAUGACUUUGACAGUAUCCGAUAGCCAAGGUGAUGAAGAGUUUGAGCUUGAUGCAAAGUCAUGCCGGUAUUUACCGUGUGACAGCAGAUACCCUUGUGGCUCAUCUGCUGGCCCCUUCAUAUGUAAGCACAUUAUAAGUGAAAAGACUCCACAUAUCAAGAAUGUCAGUACUAGCCCUAAAAACACCAAAUAAGUAGCAAUCUUUGCAGGCUUUUUCAGGUUUUCAGUUGGUUUGUUUCUUGAGUGAUCUGUGGAGUCAGUGAGAAACUUCGGAAGGAUAAGUAGAGGGUCACCAAGGUAGGACUCCUUUUCAAACGUUGCCAACUGUCCACUUGAAGGAAUAACACCAGAUAUGAGUGGAUUGUAUGAGACAUUAAACUUGCUUAGCUCAUGCAAGCUGUUUAAGCUUACAGGAAAUGUACCAGAAAAGUUAUUGUAGGACAAAUCAAGAUUCUGCAUACACAUGAUGUUACCAAUUUCCAUUGGGAUUUCGCCCGAGAAACUGUUAUCGGUAAGGUUAAACACUACAAGUGGAAUUUGUCCAAUCCCUGCAGGGAGUUCUCCAGUUAAUUGAUUGAAAGCCAAAUUGAUCAUACUAAAAUUGUGCAUCUCACCAAUCUCUGGAGGGACCUGACCUGAAAGCUGGUUCCCACUCAGUUGCACAUAACCUGAGAUUUGCAAUGUCCUUACUGCAGAACCAGCUACACAUAUUGGGAAAAGGCCAUUUCCUUUAAGUAGUCGAUCCCAUAUGCUUCGACAACUUUUCCUGGUUAGGAUUGUGUACACAAAACUGAAUGGAGGGUAGUCUGCUGGAAUCCAUCUCUUCAUUGCUAAGCACUCCCCGGAUCCAGCUACGAUCUGAUCCUCGUUCUCAUUGUUUGAUUCAAAUGUUGGACCAGGAUUUGUCCCAAUAUUCAUCAACUCAUAUGGGAUUGUUCCAUUGAGCUUGUUGUUGGAAAGGUUCAGCCACAACAAGCUAGUACAAUUCCCUAACUCCCUAGGAAUUGGACCUGUUAGAGAAUUAUCAGCAAGCAUCAACCACAAAAGAGACCUUAACUUUCCUAUGGUGGCAGGAAUUGACCCAGUUAGGCUGUUGAAAGAAAGGUCCAGUGCUUGGAGCUGUGUCAAAUUUCCAUACUCUGGUGGUAUAGUUCCAUUGAAUUCAUUGUAGGCGAGGAACAAGUACUUCAAGCUUGACAUUUCAGCAAUUUCAACUGGUAAAGAACCUGUAAAGUGGUUGUGACUGAGAUCCAACCGAGAUAUAUUAGGUAGCUUGAGAAUUCCAGAUGAAUAUAUACCACCUAUGUAUGAGUUUGAGUGCAGCACAAGAAACUUCACCUGCGUAAAUCUCCCAAAAAUCUCUUGUAUAUCUCCACCAAAAUUGUUCCUGCUCAAAUCCAAGAACACCAAGUUGCUCAAAUUCAAAAGAGCUUCCGGGAUCACUCUAGAAAAACUGUUAUUUCCCAAGAACAAAGUCUCCAGACUCCAGAGACUUCCAAUCUCAGAUGGAAUCAGCCCUGUAAAUUUGUUUCCCCACAGAUUCAAUGUAACCAAAUUCCGGCAAUUUGAUAUCUCCUUUGGAACGUCACCAGAAAAAUUGUUUACUGACAGGUCUAAACUCACCAAGCUACAAGUGCCAUUGAAAAUAGAAGGCAAAAUAGCCCCACUCAGAUCAUUCUCAGACGCAGAAAACUCCCUAAGCCUUGUGAAUCCAACCCACACAUCACCACUGAAAUUGUUUGAGCUCAGAUCCAAAUACUGCAAAUUAUAGCACUCAUCAAAGUACUGGUCAAUUCUACCAGUGAAGUUAUUGGAGGACACAUUUGCCACCACCAAGUUCUUGCAAAUUCCAGGGAAGGUCAUCUUCAUAUCCCCAUAAAGCCUAUUCACAGUCAAAUCAAGAACCUCCAAUUGACUCAACCCCUGCAAUCUCAGCUCACCUUCAAGAAUGUUAUGUGACAAAUUCAAGUACUUGAGGCUCUGGCAUUGACUCAAGUCCUCCGGGAUAGCUCCACCGAGAGUGUUAUCCGAUAAGUCCAGCUCCGAAAGCUGUGUCAAAGCCGAGAAGUUUCCGAACAUCUGACCUGUGAUUUUGCUGUCAGUGAGAUAUAUUCCGGUAACUCUUCUGUCACCAUUGCAUUUAACUCUAGGCCAAUCACAGGGGCUAAUGCUGCUCUGGUUCCAUUCUGAGUAUCUGCCUUGGUUUACUUUGUUAUGUUCUUGAAGAAAAGCUUUAAGGCUCAGCAGAACUUCUAUGUCUGUGUUUAGAGAAUCUCCAGCUACAACUUCAGCUGUGAAUACCAAUCAAAACAGAGUUGCAGACUCUUAUUAGAUAAUAUCAAAAAUUAAAAUAAAAUUUAAAAAAAAAUUCAACCUCGAAAAACGUAACUAUGAGACAUCUGACAAUGUCUGACAAGUGUUUUGAUUAACACUCAAUCUUUCUCGGGAAAUGAUCAACUGGGUUGAAUUAAAAACACUAAAACAACAAAACCCAGAUAAAUAUUUCAACUUUUCAACAUGAACAAGUACCUGUGAUCAUGAUGAUGAGUGAGAAUAUGGAAGAACAACACCACACUGAGCGCCAUGAAUGAGUUUUCGAGUUGCUGUACAUGAUUUUCUGACCUCCACUAUGAUCAAGAAGCUAAACAAAAAUGAAAGAAUUAUGAUUUUGAUUGAGGGUGCGUAAAGAUUAGAAUUUACAGGUUCAUGAAAUGUGGAAGUUUGAAACUUGGAAGUUUGAAUAUGUUUGUGGAAUGUCGUUGAAGACACAUAGAGCGCCUGCAUAUACAGACUUGGAUCGACGUCCUUCUCAAUUUUGCUUCUUCUAUUUCAUUUACGCUUUAAAAAAAUAUGUAAAAAAUGCAUUAGAUUAUUGAUUUCCAGUUGAAAAAUAUUUAUACUAUUGGUCUGAAAGCUCUGGUUGGUUAAGAUAGUACUAAAGGGUUGAGCCGCAGAAGUUGACCGGUUCGGUUAAACCGGCUCGGCGAUUUGACUCGGAGACAGAAAAGGGAGUCUUUGUGACGACUAUAUAUAUUGAUAUGCUUUCACGUUGGUUUGUUUGGACUUGGAUUCUAGAAUUGAUAUGGUCUUCUCCUUCCUUCUUUUGCAUAUAAACAGAAUCAUAUUAUAUGCUCGAAUUGAAAUUUGGUGGAAAUUGCACUAAUAUUGUGUGUUGCUUUAUAUCAAUCUAUGGAAGUUUACAAGCAGAGAAUGAAGCAAAGGCGGAAAGGGAAUAACAUCUUCCAUGAGUGAAAAGGGCACUCAUGGUUUUGAUGUGUAGGUUGCAAAGUGUUUGAGAACGUACGUACAAUAAAAAGUUGUAAUUCUCUAUCUUUCCCUAAAUAGAGUGAAUAAUUGGAAUUUCUUUCUAAGCAAUUGAAAAUUUGAGUUGGACUCGUUUCCUUUCUAAUCACAUUAUUAGUUCAUAAACCAUGCAUCUAUCUAAUUGCAAGGUGGAAGGGUGAGAAAAUAUUCUUUGAAAGAGAAAAAGAAAAAAUGGAGAAAAGAUUAGAGAAAGUCGACCGGUUUAGCGUGUAUAUUUUCUCUAUGACAAUAUGUAUAUAUACCAAGUGUUUGAGUUUCGCAUAGAACUCAAUCCCAAGACAGAGUGACAUCGUUGGAAUAUUAUCGGAGCUAGACUGUUUUCCACAUAGAACUCGAGAGCGGUUAAUAAUAUUCCGCAGACUAAAAAUAUUUAUCCCAGCUUUUAGUAAGACACAAAGCUUGGAGUGCAAUGUAACUUACCUAUCAUUUGAAUUGACAUAGUAUAUGGAUGAUUUGUGUCAUGGUGGCUCACCUAAUUACAAAUUACAAUCAGAUGCUGACAAUGGUGAAAUAGAUUAGUAUGUUAAUGAACUUGCAAAAUUUGGAGUGAUUAAACUGUUCGUUUGGGUCAUUGCAAUCUGAGACACAUAAUCCACCAAUACCUGAACGUUUUCCUCAUGGUCGCAUAGCGAGAAGAAUCAGUUCAAACUCCAUUAUUGGCUAUAUACUAUAAUUAACAAAAUCUAAUUCGGCAGCUAUAUAAUUGAAAAGUUGGAGGACUAAUAAUGUGAAAAAACAAAUCUUGAAUUCUUUGGUAAGUUCUCAUUUUGGUAGCAAGGCAAUCUUGGUCUUUGUUUUUCGAUGAAUGAUCAAAAGGGAUCCGUACCACAUAUCAAACUUUGAUUUAGGUACUUCGUUCAAUUCCCAACAAACUUCUAAGAAAUGGACCCUCACUAUCAGUGAUGGGGUGCACAUCGAUCUGCUUCUUAAUCUGGCCUAGAAUUUCUGGUCUUACUCGCAGUAUGUGAUCAUGCCACGCUUUUCUACACAUCAAGCCGAGAUUUGGGAAAAUUCUAUCUCAUAUCUUUAUGUAUACAGGUGUUUUUGGCAUGGACCUUCUAGUCAAAAAUGGCUGUUUUCCAAUUACAUCAGAAGCAUUUUUAUAAAUACAAUCUUACACAUAAACUGAUCUUAAGUUUACUGUUAUCCUAAUCUAGUGCAUGUUAUACUAUUUGCGAUUAGGGUACGUGUUGACCAAAUAGUUCUAAUUCGUAAUACAAAAAGUGUUUGAUUGAAACUAAUCUCUACUAUAAUAAGGCCAACAGUAAAGAAAUUCAUUAAAUUGUACGCUGUCAUAAUUACUUUUAAUGAGACGAAACAAAUAAAAUAAAGGUUAUUAUUGUAAAUAACAAAAUAAAUAAACAAAAUAAAAUAAAACAUAAAUAUGAUCGAGGAGAACUAAACUAAAAUUAACCUUUCAAGUUUCUUUACAGGUGAUCGUGAUCCUGUGCAAUCUGUAAAAUGCUAGUAUUUAGAAAAGUAGCUAGAGGAAUCAGGUAAUAGAGCAAACUAACACUUAUAUUCUGAAAAAAAAAAGAUUGUGUGGAUUAUCGACCAUAGAUCUUUCCAAGUUUCGUGAACAGUGAGUAUACUUAAUUACCCAAUUGUUUUGUCAAAAUGUGAAUUGCAAACUGGGGGCUGUUUCUACUUUCUCUGGUUCAUUUUCUUUUUUCUGCAGAAAUCUCUUGUUUACGAGGGACAAUGUUUGUAGGCAACCAAACAUACGUACUAAAGAGUCCGGAUCGUUGUAUGAUAUGAUUAAUAUAAGAUAAGAAUAUUGCAUAUCCUUAAAAUACAAAACAAUUAAGCACAAAAGUCCUCAAUACACCAGACAGGAAACCAAUCAAGAAAAUGACUUAAAAGCUGUUCUAUUACAUCAUUGCCCGGGAAUGCCUGCAUACGUAUAGUAUUUAUGUAAUUAAUCAAAUCGUUAGAAAGAAAAUAACUGGUCAAAGAAACAUGUUUGUUUGGUUUUUCUCAUGGGGGUUUGAUCAAGAUAUGAGAGACUAGCAGGGUUAGGGUUUCACUUUCCAAAGGCAAUGCGACGAGUCGUGUGGGUCAUAGGACUCGUCGUACGUAGGUGUAUGAUACAAAGGUCGGCCGACCGUCUUGAUAUUGGACUUGGCUUCACGGCAAAGGUUAACUGGAACUCUCCAUUUUCUGAUUUGAUUUCAUCAUACAAGACUCGAUCACUGUAUGUUCAUGUGGGUACGUGGUUGUCACUGUUUAUAUUCAUGCAUUUUUCAAAUCCAAAGUCAAAUUAGAUGACGACGUCGACUCUAUUUGUCAAUUAUUUUGUGAUUAUUCUCUUCUUUAUUGUUGUUGUUGUUGAGAGAGAGAGAGCUCUGAUCUUGUUGCUGGGGUUGUUGUUCUGAUGUAUGUCGAUCAAUCAGUGUUAGCUAGAGCUUGCCCGCUCUAUGUACCACAGAAGGUGACGAAACAAAACUAGCUAGCUAAUUGAUUCCUAGCUACUAUAAAGUUUCUAUUGGAGCAUUUGUUCAAAUUCAGCUUGUCUAGCACUAGAGCAUGCAUUCUUCCAAAAUAAAUUAAUAAUUGCAUGCACAUAAACUUGUAACUAACUUACCGGACCAAAAAAACUGACCGGAAAAAAUCUAAUACUGUGGAUCCAUUUACUUGAAAGGCUAGCUAUCAGACAAAAUGUGAACUGAAAAAAUAUUAGUCUUGAUCGGAAUUUUUGAUGCAUCGCCGGCCUAUUCACUUACACAUACUUGGAAGGAAAAUAAUUGACAAGUAGAUUGCUACUUGAUGGUUAUUUAGUAGUAAUGCCCUAAUAAAGAAUCUUUGGGAAAUAUGAUGAUGUCAAAGUUUGAUUUUGUUUUCAUUUGGUUGCUCAAUUAUGCAGGUAAAUAUAUAAUUCUUUACAAAAUGGAUUUUAGUAGCUAUUAGUUCCUCUUAGAUUAAGAAUACAAAGAAAGUAAGACCAAUCCAGAUGUGACAUAGAUAUAUAACGUACAAAGUAACAUUACAACAGUACGAGACAACAACUUAGAAAGGGAUUCGCCUGUAGAUAUGUUGCCACUUGAUCGCAUGUUAAGUUUCCCAAACACUCAGAACAGCAAAAUUGAUCUAGAACAGCCCAGGUACGUAUAUAUGUCUUAUUCAUAUAUAUGAUUAUAUGCUGAAAGCCAAUGAAUCAUGACGAAGAUUAUUCAAGAUAAUAUAUAUAUAUAUAUCCAGGUUUAGUCAAAGACUGAAAGCCACAAUAUUCGAGUAGUUAAACCAGAAAUUUAGUAGGCCAAUGAAGUACGUAGCCUAAACAGAUUAAACCAGCAAAUUAAACCCCAAAAAUUUCAUCCCAACCAUGAUUGUUUAAGAUCCGUGAACCAUGAAGAAAAAGAUAGAAGAUAAGACCACCACGAACGCAUGCAACAUUCAAAUUGGACUCGCAUGUAGUCUAUCCAUGAUUAUUAUUUUAGUUAUACCCAGAAACCUUCAUGGUUCUUAGUCUUAACUCUUAAGAAGCAGAGGGGUUAUUAUGUGAUUUUUCCAGUCAAAAUAAUAUACAAAUCAAUGAUGAAUUAAUCUACUAUAAUCUCUGUGGUCAAGAAUGUACAACAAUCCCAUUCCCUAUAUCACCCGUGUGCAGAAAGUUUUGUAUUUUCUAUCUUACAACAAUGAUGUUUUAUUUCAUAUUUGAGAUCGACGGGUCCUUGACCUUUAAGCCUAUUGAAGAAAAAAAAAUAGGAUCACAGUUCAUACAGUACUAGCUAACUAUGAUUGUUUCGACUAUAUUCAAGCUCUGCGUUUCUUUCAAAUGCCUAAUGUAAAAUCUGUUUUUAUAUAGGAGGCUCAUGAUCCUUUUUCAAUUAUUGAACAAAACUAAAUAGCCUUGCUGCUUCAUAAAUUUCUGCAAUCCGUCGGAUAUAGUGUAAUUGUGAUCCUUCCUACUUGCGCAAAGUUUUUUUUUGGGUCGAAGUCAAUAUAUAUUCAUAAAGAAGCCAGAAGGCAAACCAUUAGCACAGCAGAGAAAGCAAAUAAACAAGCAAAAACAUCCGAAAAAGGAAAACUUGAAGCACUAAUAGCUAGCUCUAUUUACAAAAACUUGCGCAAAGUUAAUUUGCACAUACAUAUUCAUCAACCCUAGCCUAUUCAUCAACUAAUAGUUUUCAACGACGUACAUGUUAGAUUGUUUAACAUCUUAGUACUAGUGUAAGCUUGCUGCUUCUAAGGAUAGUGAGGAGAUUGAGAUUCCUACCAAUGUCAUCAUUGCAUGGUAUUUUAUCAUCAGCUACGGGAACUUGACUUCCCUAGACGUUUUUCAUCACAUCAGGAGAGUCAUAGACGACCUGCAUAACGAGCAACUAAGGUCAGAACACUACAGUACACUUCACAAUUUAACAAGGUCUCAUGUGUGUUAACAUUAACAAACUGGAAGAUCAAUGCAAUCCUUCUUCCAUCUGGCACGCAAAACACCUAUAUGCCAUCAGGCAGGAGUUAAGCCCCGAAAGACAAAACAAAGAGUUCACAAUGAAAGCAUAUAUAUGCAUGUCACAAAGUUCAGAAACCCUUGGUUAAUUUUGAAUCCUAAGAAGUGUUAAUUAAUAUGUCCUCAGAAAUUCGAUCAAUCAACUAUAUUCAAGAUCACAUAGUUGAUCAUUAAUAGCUAGAUUGAAACAUCAGUCAUGAGGCAUUAGAAAUCGGCAUAAGGGGCAUUGGUGAUUGAUCUCCAGCCACUGAACAACGCAAUCUCCAUGAUAGAAGUGUUGGCAAGGCAAGCAAGUAGCUUCAACUCCUGCUUUAAAGUCCUCCAUACAAAUAACACAUAACCCGGCAUGUCUUGCAGCUUCCACACUCUCGAAUCUCACUUUCUCCAACUCCUCAAUUGCAGAUUUACUUGUUGGGAUGGUCAUGGCCAUAUAUGUUUCCAUGGAUUCUAAUGUAAUCCUGUCAAUCUCCUCGUUACCAUUAUCAUCUGUGUCCAUGUCUAUGGAGAAUUCAAAAUCCAUCAGUAGCAUAUCCGAUUCGAGCACUAAAUGAUCGCCAUACUCAGUAUCAUAUUCAGUUAAUGAACUAUAGAGAUAUUGAAACGGCUGAUCAGUAUCGACAUCCUGAUUAGGCGCCUCAAUAUCCCUAUGGUUCAUCAGUUGAACAUCCUCAAUAAGAUAGUCAUUAUCGAUAUCUAUUUCUGUCAACGCAAUCAACUCUUGGGCCAAUGCAUCGGCAUGAUAAUUAUCAUGAUACAAGUCAUGUAACUCAUAAGAUAACCCGGCUAACAUUGCAUCCAAACAAUCUCCCCAUUCCAUCUCGCAAUCAUUAUUAUUUGGCUCCAUGUUUAAAUCAAUACCUCUUUUGGCCUUGUAAACCUAUCAUUAUCCAAACAAUCUCCCCAUUCCAUCUCGCAAUCAUUAUUAUUUGGCUCCAUGUUUAAAUCAAUACCUCCUGGCCUUGUAGACCUAUCAUCAUCAAAAGCCUCAUCAUCCGGGACAACAUUUAGAUCUAUGGAAGCUGCUUCACGUCUUAUGGUCACAUCAAAAUAGCCACUAGUACUGCCUGCGGUGACGUCCAUCUUCCCAAGGCUAAGAAGCUCAGAUAUGUUUGCAACAAUAUUUUGCUGCACCUGUGGUGGUUCACCCAUGUCUCCAAGAACCCUAGUGACCUCACCGAACUGAAUAUUAUGGUUUUGCCUAGUUCAGUUUCAGAUGACUUGUAGAGAUGAAUAUAGACGGGAAGACUUUUAGUUUCUGUGGGAUUGGAAACCACUUUACCUCGGUUUGAUAGUCGGCGUGGUGGUGUUGUAUUUGGUUUACAGAAGGAAAUGCUAAAACCCUAAUACAGCUUUUGAUGGAUGCUCAAUCUCUCUCUCUCUCUCAGCCUCUCCUAAUCGGUUUGAUCAAUUGUUUGGUUUCAUAGUUCUGCUUUUAAUCUUUUAUAUAGGAAUUGCUAAAUCCUUGUUACAGUUGGAAAGAGAUUCUUUAUUUUUUAUUUUUUUUGACCAAAAAGAUUUUGUAUUUUUGCAUAAUUAAUUCCCUCAACUUUUCUAGUACCCUGGUAGGCUGCGGAUGGGCUUGGAGAUCAAUAUCUUUGAUGUCAUGUUGGCGGUCAUGUUUUUAUCACAAAUUAUUUACUAUUUAGUGAACAUUGUUCAAAACCUUCAUGAUAGCAAAGAGCGUUCGUGUCAAUGAUAUAUUCUUCACAGGAAGAUGAUCACUUAGAAUUAACAAGCAUAUAACGAUGUACAAGGGCCUCCCUUAGAAAAACGCAGUACAAAUUUACGGAAUUUUUAUAAUUGAUCCAAAUAAGGUCACUCAUGAUCGAUACAGCGCAAUAACCAUUCAGAUUAACAAUUAAAUUCAAGAAGCAAUAUAUGCCAUUCACAUGAACACUAGCUGGCCUAAACUUGCACAGACCAAACUAGAAUUUCAAGUCAAGUACCUGACCUAGUGGGGGGUUUUCCUUUUCUAUUUCAUCGUAUUCAGGAAGGCUAAAUUCUUGAGGAGCAUGAUAUCCAUAUUCUUUUGGAGCAGCUACCUCCCUUAGUGCAUUAAGAGCAGCCUUUCUCUUUUGCCUGUGCUCUCUCCAUCGCCUUAUCUGAUCCUCAAGUCCUGCUUUAGCUGUCUCAGCAAGAUCAGCCCUCGUAACUGCCUGUUCUGCUCGGCUCCUGAAAUGCGAUACUUUUUCCGAAGCAGCCUCCAACUCCUUCUUCAACCUUUCCAACUCAGACUUAUCUUCUGUGGCACUUAAGCUUGACUGUCUUGUAAAACUGAGUUCAUUCUCCAAUGACAAAGGAAUUUGAUCAGCCUUCUCGGCCUUCUCAAUCAAGCACUCAUAUUCCUUCAAAGAAAUUGUUAUGAGUUGUGCAUCAUCCUUUUGGUUCCUCUCUUCUUGAUCUACUUCAGCCUUGAGUUCUUCAAUUUCGGAAGCUUCAGCAUCCUGAAAUUGUUCGUCAUCAGCUUCUUCCUCUACCCCAUCAACUUCUUGUUUUAACAUUCUGUUCUCCUUCUUGGCAUUUUCGGCUUCUAUUGCUAGUUCCUGAAUUGCAAGAUACAUCCCUGACUUCAUGUUCUCCUUUCUUGCUUCGGCUGCUUCAGCUGCUGCAAUUUUUGACCUUCCUCUAUGCAGCUCAGAUUCCAGCAGUGCUAUUUCCACUAGUGCAUUGCUUUCCCUUUGUUUGAUCUCGCCAAUCUCACUUCUUGCAUGCAGUAACUCGCCGGUUAAAAGUUCAACAUCAACCUUCAAGCCAUUAGCCACUUCAUUAGCAUUUAUCAACUCUUGUUUUAACUUGUUCAAUUCCAUUUCAAGUGACUCAAUCAAAACUUCCUGAUCCAGGUUCUUUCGUUCUUUCCCUUCCAACUCUUCCUGUACCACUUUCAUAUUAUCGAUAGCAUCAGAAGCAGACUUCUCGGACAAAACGAGUUUAUCAUUUAGUUCAUUGAUCUCAUAUUUAAGCAUUUCAAUGCACUCAGACUUGGAAAGGAGCUGAUUCUCCAACUCCUGAACAGCUAGUGUUUGUGUUCUCAUGUCUUCUACCUGCUCCUGUGCUUUAAGAGCAGCUUGUGUAGCUAACUCAAUCUCAGCAUCUUUCUCUGACAACAUUGCCGACUUCUCAUUCUCCGCCUCAAUGGCAGCAUCUUUUGACAUGAAUAUUGCAUCUUUGAGAUCUGCGACAUGUCUCACUAGCUCUUCCGUCCUCUCUUUUUCCAUGGUGAAAGCAGUCUCCAUCAAUUCCGCUUGCGUUAAGGCCUUGAGCUCCGAGUCUCUUGCACGCGCGAGGUCAGUUUCCAAGCUAAACAGCUCGUCUUGUGUGGCCUUCAACUCGCUAAAAACGUGCAUAAGCUUCUCGGGUAGCUUGGCAGUUUCCGAAAGCUGAUCAGCCAUCUCCUUCACCUUGGACUCGAGUUCCUCCACACGAGUGCUAGCCUCUUUACAUUCUCGUAUGUAUGCAUCUCUCUCAGUCUCAAUGCUUUGAAGCAGAGUGGAAAGCUCAUCUGCUGUGUACUGAUGGUGUUGCAGCUUAAGGAGAGCUUGCAUGUAGGCAGCAUCCUUUGCUUCCAAUUGGACCUUGUAAUUGGCCAAAUCCUUUAGUAUACCUUCAAUUUCUCUCUCUUUCUCACUCUCCUUCUACCAAAAACAAAAAACAAAGAAAAGAGUACAAAAUCAAACAUCAUCUUAAAUACUAACAUAUAGGCAUAGCAGACCGAAAUUCAAAUUUGUAACCCUAGCAAAUACCAAAUGAAGAAAUAAAAAUUCAAAUUCAGAGAAGAAUAAAAUUCAGUUUUGAUUUUAUAAGAAUCAAUGCAGCCAUAUUAGCAUCUUCACCUCUAUACCUUUAGGCAGAAGUACCUGCACAUUGAUGCUUAAUCAAAUACAUGCCCAGAUCGGAAUGAUCAUGUUCACAUCUUUUACAAAGGAAACCACAGUAAUUAACUAUCACAGUUCAAACUUCAGAACCAAGAAAAUACCAAUAUAUACAAUAUUUAACUAGACAUUACUUUUUAGGAUUUACUAGUUAGUAGUACAGAAGUAAAGUUCAGAUCUUACAUCGGUGCCGGUAGGAUGGGGUCUCCGGUGAUCAGCUUUAUCUUCAAACAAGGACAAAGCAGCCUGGACUGAUUCAAUUGGUUUGGUAUCAAUCUCACCCAUGUUUCCCACCUAGAAACCCUACAAGAAAAUGGGUACAAUAUUCAACUGUUCAGUUAGUAAAAGACCAAUCACUGCUACCUCAAAAUCCAUUCAUGAAAGAUCAAGGGUACCUGAAACUGAGUGAACCAAAGUAGGAAGUGGAAAUGAGAAGUGAAGAAAGCAAGAGAUUUGCAGGCCAUUCAUAGAGUGAGGCAUUGUUUUAUGUGUCUUGGAUUUCGGAUUUGGUGUUUACGAAGUUGGCCGGAGCCUAUCUGUGUUUGAUCCGCCUCUGCCUUGUGAUCACCAAGACGGCAAAAGCACAAACCUACAACUUUUGGCACUAUUUAUUUGCAGUUAUUUGCUUUCAUCAAUAUGCUGUUCUUGAUUUUCUGCAACGUAUAUUCUUCCAUGACAAUGGAAUAUAGUUGAGCAGGUGACGUAUUCAUAUGUAUAUGAUUGUAUAUAUUUGGGCCAACUUUCCUUGGGCCUUUACAAGUAAAGUACAGUAAUUCCAGCCCAAACCCAUAAUUGAAUCGUAGACGUUGAUAGAGGCCUAAUGGGUGCAUAACAGGAAUGAGAUUCCCGUUUGUUUUGGGAUUUUGACAAUACCAUUAAUUUGUGAGAACGAAACAAUACCAUUAAUUUCAAAAUUGCGUAUAAUGCUGUGUUGAUAAAGCAAUCAAAUGGUGUCGUUCAAACGUCAUCGGUCUUCCUCAAGAAGUUUAUUGAAAAUUCAAUUAUUUAUGGGGCGCUGCUCAGUUGCCAUAUUAUUAUGACUCAUCUAUGCAUGAGUUUUUUUCUCAAAGAAAGAGAGAUUUGCCCAAGCAUUACUUGGGUGAGAGUGUGAGGAAACUACUACUACUUCCAUCUUCUUCCUUGUUCAUCAGACUCAGAGUGAAGAGAUAGCCUGAUUAAAGAAUGGAGAACACUCUGACAAAAGUUAUUGGGAGCUCUUGGAUUGCUAAGAAAGCAAAGGAAGAGAUCAACAACAUCACAGAUGAUUUAUCUGUAAGUAUUCACAUGAAGAUCGAUCGAGUUUCACACUUUCUAAUUUCUUCGUCUCUUUAUCAUGGGUAUAUACCUAAAUAGGGCUUUACGCCUUUACCUAUUUGAAUGAUAUAAAUUGAUCUCUACAAAGAGUUGGUUUUGGUUCAAUGAGAUUAGAGUUGAAGAUUGUAGGGCUCUAACAAUGAUGCUUCUGGUGUUCUACCCUUCAGUUCCCCUGUUUCCAAUCUUCAUAGCUGAUUUUCUAUCAUGCAUCUUAAAGGGCUUUCUUUGGUGUUUGAUCGAUAUUUUAGUAAUUUGGGAAAAGCUUAAGGCUUUAGCAUUUAGGUUGAUUCACACAUUUGUAUGUACGUGUUGUCUCGUACUAUCCAAUUUCAUGUGAUGAAUAUAUAUGAAUAUACACUAUUGCAUAAUGAUUCCUUAUGCAACUCUUAACUCUAUCUUGUUAUUUUCUGUUGGUAAUUUCAGUCAAUCUCAAACGCUGUGGAGGGAAAGGCGAAAUGGGUGUUCAACAAGUUUAAAGGUAUGCUGCUGUUUUGAACUUUCUGAGCUCAUUCUAGUGAACCUUAACUACAAAGAAACUGUUUGUCAUAUCAAGAUUCAUCGAUUCCUCAACGUUUGUCCUUUUGAAAUUUCAGAUGUUCUUUAAUUUAUCUUUCUUUAAUUGGGGGACUUUUAACACUUGAAAAGGAAUAGGCACUUUAAUUUUAUUAGAAUUUGAACAAUACACCAUAGAGGCAAUUUAGCAAGACUCUAAGCAAGUCCUGCAUAAUGCAUGGAUAUAAAAACUAAGAUGACAGAAGAGGUUCUUCUCUGUUCUGACUAACUAUCUGCCCAACCAUCUUAAUGAGAUUAUAAGUACUUCUUAAGAAUAUUAACUUAUCAUAGUAUCAGAUUACUAGAGAUCAAUAUUGGAGAGAAUGAAUCUGGAACAAUUUUCAAGAGAUGGCACCUUUUGACAAAGGAUACUAGCAGACUGCAUUAAUCUGCCAUAUCUAUGCACUUCCACCUAAAAAAGCUGAAAUUCACGCUUCUUUUCUUAAAGAACUUUGUAGAAACCUAAUUUGAUUUCAUAGCAAAAUUGUGCCUAGCAAAAAUAACCACCAAUGUUUAAUAGUAGUUGAGCUUGCACUUUUUUCUCUAACAUAUCUUGUGUAUGAAGGAGUACUUCAAACUCAUCCAAGGAUGAGAAAUACCACUCACCCAUUGCUAGUUGGUUGAGUGAAACUUGUCAAUGCUGUUAACCAAUAACUCUCUCACUAAUUAUGGGCUAACCUUCAGUCCUUCAUUAUGAGUUGGUGUGGUGUUUUAGAAAAAAGCCUUUUAAGACUUCUCAACACACUAGUCAGAAACUGAUUUAGACCACUAACCCGAUCUGAGAGUUACUUAAUUGGGUACUGUUUCAUUGAGCCAUUUAAUUUAAUCACAUCAAAGUGAUCAAACUAUAUUUCUAUGCUUAGUGUAACUUUCAGCCCAAGUAAAACAAGGAUGCAAUUUCAAAACACAUGAAGCUGACCAUAAAAUGUGCACUUAUUUUGCGCAGGCAAGCCACAAAGAACGUUGCCAGAGCUGCUCCGAUUGUACAACCUUCCUCCGGGCCUAUUUCCCCGGAACAUAAAAUGCUAUGAGUUCGACGAAUCAAAGGGGAAGCUCAUUGUGUACAUGAACUCUGCCUGCGAGGUGAGCUUCAAGGACUCGUCUGUUGUAAGGUACGGGGCUAGGGUCAAGGCAUCAUUGACAAGGGGAAAGCUGGAUGCAAUAGAAGGAAUGAAGACAAAGGUUGUUCUGGUUUAUGUCAAAGUCACUAGUUUAGCUGUAGAAGGCUACAAGUCUGAUAAAGUUUGGUUCACUGCUGGCUUGAAGAGAUCAAGACCAAAAGAUGCAUAUGAAAUGCCUCGUGAUGCCUCCGGUGUUGAAGAAUUUUAAGAUUCUUUUUUGUCACAUAUCGAUUUAAGUGACACAAUCAUCACUUCGUCACUUACAUUCUUUGGAGCUACACUAUUAUAUUGAAGGCUUAAUUUUCGACAUAAGCUAAUGAAGAACCGUGAAUUCUUGGUUAUUGUAGGAUUUUGUGAUGAGAAUUCAGAUCACAAAACUGCAGACAACCCGAACAGAUCAAAGAGAUUGGUAGGGAUGUAUCUAUCAAAGUUUAUCAGCAUAUGAAACUAGUACAUUUCGUUAUAGAAAUUAAUUAAUGGUGUCAAUUAAUCUGCUUGAUUUUUUUUUUUGGGUUCUUUUUACACAAGGAAUAAAACAUUCACAUCAUCCCAUGCAACUAUGCAAGUAUGCAGGCAAACUAGUAAUCGAAACAACUCAUGAGCCGUUAUAACGUAGGAACAGACUCAAAGUCGGCCCAAUAUAGGAACACUGAUUAUCUUUGGGUUAAAUGCUUUGCCCAGGUGAACUUUGCAGAGUGAAACUUGGCUCUGUGUGUGGAACUUGGAACUUGUACAACAUAAUUGGAUUGUUGGGAAAAGAAGGGACAUUAUUAUAGUUUUUUUUUUUUUUUUUUUGAUAAGGGGUUUGGAAGCUGGCUCAUCCGGGACAUUAUUAUAGUUAAAAUGUAAAAAAUAACACCGAUAAACAUACACGAUGAAAGAAUGAAACAACAAGAAGUUGCUAAAAACACGAAUAUACCUUGGAAACACAGUAAGAAAUGGUAAAAAGAUGAAAGAACAAGAAGUCAUCAAGGAAGAAAACUACGAAUGCCUUGGAAACACAUUAAGAAAAGGUAAUAUCUGGAAACUAAUAUCAUGAUUGAUGAAUUUGAAACAAAAAGUGCUGAAACUAAUAUCAGAUAACACAUCAUGCAGUCAAUGGAAUUGUUCUCUACUUUGCUCCCAAACACAGGAAAUUACAUCUAAUUCAAUUUCAAACUCUGUCCAUCAGAGGUGUUACAAAUGGGGUCUCCCCAGCAAGAGCAAGUUCACCUUGAGGCUCGAAUACAAAUAGGCCUCAAAGAGUUCGAUAAAGUUUUUCGAUAAAAUGAGUUCGAUAAAGUUUAUAUGUCAAACCUUAACUAAUAGAUGCUAGUUAGUGAUCAUCUACCACACCCAGACCCAGUCUACAAAAGGGCUCCUACUCCCUAUAUUCCUUCUUAAAGUAAAUAAAAGUGCGAGUAAAGAUAUUCCCGUAUCUUGUAAAAAUCCUCUCAUGCUGGACCUUCAAUCACAAUUUGCUGUGAAUCAGCACCACCACCCUACAACACAAACGUAUGCUUCUGCAAGUCAAGCUUUACAUCCUAAAUGGCUCUUGUAGUUUGCAAAAGUCUAGUAUAUAUAUGCAAGUGUUGCAUUACCUUAUGGCUUGCAUCCCCAACCUUGCGUAUUGUCACAUGUUCACCACAUCGCAAAGCCCCACCAGCAAAGGACACCUGUCAAUCAAGGUCAUUGAACGACGAUAGUUUGCAGAAUACUAUUUUCCAAGAACUUUAACUUAUAUCUGGGCUCAAAAACAUGAAGUUGAAAUCAUUUGUCAUGUUACUGAGUGAGGAAAUGCCUAAAAAUGGUACCCGGACACCGUUAUAAGCAAGAAAUUGCUUGAAAUCGCCAUUUUAAAGUCACCAACUGGGAUCGGUUUAUGUGGUUGAGCUGCAGUUGUAAAAACAGCAUUUCAGCUUCUGUCUUCCUUACCUCAGAAUUGAACCAAGCUAUUUCAUUCUCUCCAACUGUACAUUUACAUCAAAAUGAUUAGGAAGGAUAAGACAUAGAAAACAAAAUACAUCAAAAUCAUUAGGAAGGAUAAGGUACAGACAACAUAAGUUGACACUUCAAUGCUUACCUUCUUAAAGAUUAUGUCACUCAUGAGCUGGAGUUGAGCAGGGUUGUAAAGACAGCUUUUCAUCUUCUGUCUUCCUUACCUCAGAAUCGAACCAAGCUAUUUCAUUCUCUCCAAGCUGUAUAUUUACAUCAAAAUGGUUAGGAAGGAUAAACCAUAGAAAACACAAUACAUCAAAAUCACUAGGAAGGAUAAGAUACAGACAACAUAAGUUGACACUUGAAUGCUUACCUUCUUAAAGAUUAUGUCACUCAUGGGCUUCUCGGACAGUUGUACCUGCAUCACAACAUCAUGAGAAAUGAAGAAAAUUGUGAUUCUGAGUCACAGAUCACAAAUAAAUGAAGAAAUUCUGUGAUUACCUUAUAAGCACAUAAAUCGGACGUCACAUCAAUUGUUUCUUCUAGUUGAGGAGCAUAUACAUGAAGGCAAACAUGCUUCAAGCAGUGUUGCUUCAGAUGUUCAGUGGCUUCACAUGAACCAAAACCUUACAAGAAAAGAAGUACACACCAUAACAAUAAGUUAAUCUCACAUCAAAUUAUAACAAAACAUUUACAGAAUGAGCUGAAGCCCACAGACCAUGAGUGCAUUCAAAAGAGCUGAUUGGAUGAAAAGACUUUUAGACAAUAACUAAACAGUUAUCUGAUUAUUUAUAGAGCAAAAGCUGGAAAACGUCAAAAGUAGGUAUAUGCCAAACCGAUUCUGUUACGAAAGAGCAAUGCUGUAAUUAUCUUUCGUCACGGUAAGUAAUUUAUUUUACUGCAAGGCCGAAGGACAUAACAAAGAUUUUGCCAUAAAUCUAGCUAAUACCCAGAGUCCCAGACAACGUAGAGUUUGGUUCUUGAACCUGUGAAGUGGGUUUCCACUUUUCAGGGAAAAAGAUCUCACCAAGCCUAUGCUUGAAUUUCUGCGAGGUGCUCUAUAUUUGUGGCAGACAGACCAUGUGGAUUGUCUCUGAAUCAAUAUAUGAUGGUGUUCUCACAAUGGUGGUUUGAUGAUGAUCAUGGUGGCAAGGAAUUGAAGGUCCUCAACUCUGUUUGAGUUGACACUUAGACACCCAUUUUUGAUUCUGAUCUUCACACUUCACCACUCUCUCCUCUCCCUCGUUGAAUAGAGUAUACGACAUGGGUUUACUAUACAUAGAGGACUACGAAUAGUAUCACAUAAGCUCCACAACCUCAAUCUUCUUCCGAUAGAGGGUCUGAUUCAACCCCAAAUUCUACCAAUCCAAGCACCACACCAGCUUUUCUUUCACAUUCAUAUCACUCCUCCAAACCGAUAUUGCAUAGCCCAUCCUCUUACAGUCCUACCCAUAUGUUGCAAAGCCAAUUUCGCACGGGUUAUCCGGCAGGUCUUGAUCAAAAUCGAAAUCGAUCAAUUUCCUCUGCCGCGUGUCGGCCCGAUCGUCGUUUUCCUCAACUAUCUGAUCUCUGAUUCCGACUUCACCUCAGCCGUCAUGUUCGACAAGCACCCAGAAAGAGGUUAAGGUUGGGGCACUUUGGGGUGGAUCCAGAUCCUCUCCUAAUAAACCUCUGCUAAUACUUCCUAAUAAGAAGAUCUGGACCAUUCAUUUUCCAUAGACGGUCAAGAUCUCUCAUACUCUUAACUCAAGGCUAUCUCUCAUCUAUUCUCUUAUUUAUGUCUCGAUCAAGUUCUCGUCCCAUUCUCUCUCUCUCUCUCUUCCAUCCCGGAAAUCAAUCUCGCCUCUGUCCGGACCUCUUCCCAACCUCCGGCUCCGGCGUCCUCCACAUAGAAGACCCAUUUGCUCUGGGAUCGAAAUCUCUCUUUGACUCUUCUGAUUACCUGUAGCUUGAAUUGUGUUACAUCAACAGUAAAGUGGGACUGUGUUUCGUCUCCAGAAAACUCGUUUUGAAUUGCUUUUUGAAGGCACGAGCACGUUGACAAUUAUUCUAGUGAUUGAGAUUUUUGUUGUACUUCUGUUUUCGGCAGCAUGUUUUAGUGACAUGUGUGUUGGUGCAAUUGCGUGCCGGCUUGAGAGGAAUGAAGGUGGAAUUGUCUGUACUCUGUACAUCAUUGAUUUGGUGUGUUCUUGAGAAGAAUUUCAGUAUCUAAUUGAUUUGGUGUUGGGCUGUCCAGGAUGUCCAGAAAGACUCAUAAUUCUGAUAUGCAGUACGAGUUUCUUUGAUCUUUGUCACUUCUCAUUUAUGCUUGAUUAGUCUAGUUACAGACUUGCUAAAUCAUUGGAAGGCCGAGUCAUGUGAGCAUCUGUUAUGUUUCUGCAGACAUGACUGCCUCUUUCCUUUAAAUCAUUGUACCAAGACAUGACUGUUAUUUGAAAUUUUUUGAAGUUAGUGGCACCAAGUUUGCAGCUGAAGCAUGCUUUAGUCGGAAAGUUCCUUAAAACUUGAUAAAAACCAAUUUUGAUCUGUGAGCAUUAGAUAUUGAACUCUGAAUCAUAAAGUGUUCACAUGAUAAAAAUCCAGAUUUGGCUACCCUAAUCUACUAAUUCAUAGAAGACAUAGUUAUGCUUUUGGAAUUCAAAAAGGUUUACAAUGGUUAGUUAGUGAUUGUAUCUUAACUGUGUGGAGUUCAGUAUCAUCCCCACUAAUGCGAAACAUGAAGCAAAAAUAUUAGUAUCUUAAAGAUCCAUAUCCCACAAAAACAAAAAUUAGAAGCUUAAUGCCAUGUACAUGACCUCAUCAAGCCAUAAUCUGGACGUGGCUGGUCAUUGUACUUCAAGAGUUCAAGGCAUCUAGCUGAACAACUUCUUCUGCGCUAAACUAGAGCACAAGUCAUAUACAGAGAAAUAAGAGGUCUUUUGUUGCAUUCCGUCCAAAGCUAAGACCCCCAAGCUUAUCACAUAACCCACACAAACAACCUCAUUUGGAUGGUCACCCGGUCACCCACUACUCGAACCUCAAACCCUGCACAACUGAAGUCCCCUGCCAUCCCGUUAUGGGCUAGCCAGAUAUAGAGGGCCCAAGCCGCCGUGAAGGACACCGGAGCCGGAGGUUGAGAAGAGGUUCGGACGGAAGCGAGAUUGAUUUCGGGGACGAGAGAGAGAGAGAGAGAGAGAGAGAGAGAGAGAGAGAGAGAGAGAGAGAGAGAGUAGUAGUAGUAGAGNNNNNNNNNNNNNNNNNNNNAGAGAGAGAGAGAGAGAAUUUGAUGGAGAGUCGAGACAGAAAUAAGAGAAUAGAUGAGAAAUAGGCUUGAGUUAAGAGUAUGAGAGAUAUUGGCCGUCUAUUGAAAAUAAACGGUCAAGAUCUUCUUAUUAGGAAGUAUUAGCAGAGGUUUAUUAGGAGAGGAUCUGAAUCCCUUUGGGGUUAAGAUUAUAGGAGAUUUGACAUAAACGCCCGUAAAAAUUAACUAUGACGGAUGAUACAGAAGUUAAGUCAGAUAUUUACUUUUAUGCUUUUAAAAUUCAAAAUUUGUGGACAAAACGAUGCCACGUAUCAGGACCUACCUUGGCGUACCAUACGUAGGCGUAGUCCAGCGCUUCCCUAUUUAUAGCCCCUCAUAUUGUGCAUUCCAAAGAAAGUUGGGUGAAAAAAAAAGCACCGAAAAGAAUUAUCAUACAAGCUUUAAGGAGCCAUAUGGAAAAGAAUCUAUUUAACAGAUCUCCCAUCAGAACGACCCAUAAAGUCCAUAUAUAUAUAUAUAUAUAUAUAUAUCAGUGAACACUUCACUAGUACCUGCAUUAGAAGGGAGAAAACAGCAAUAUACAACUUCGUAUUAGAGAACAUUAAGAAUAGUAAACUAUAAACUAAUUUAACAAGCUUCAACUUACAGUCAAAUCACUUGACACGACUUUCGAAGGCCUUGAAUCGAGAAUUAAACUAGCAGUGGCUUCGUCAAUUUUUCCAUCAAUAUCAGCUCCAACCUGAAAUGGAUGAUGAGACUCAAAUAUAGCACAUAGACAUGAACUGCAGACUAAUACUUAUAAAUCUAUGUUUCAAAAUUUGAGGAACAUUUGGCAUGAAGAAGCAUGGAAACGAUUCUUUUGAAAAAUCAAAAUAACCCGAAAGUAAAUCACAUAAUGACUUUGAUUAACAUUUACUUGAAAGCAAGGAAGAAAAUUUCGAUGAUUACGGAAAUUUCGACCCUCUAGAAUAUGGAAAUUUCGGGGAAAUAUCGAUUGUAGUAAAAAAAUGAGAAAAUUUUAAACCAAACUUUAAGAAAUGUUUGUUUUUUAUAUUACGUACUAUAUUUGAAAUGAAAACCUUGAAUAAACAUUGAUCUAUAUGGAGUUGUAGUAAGUUAAGGUGAAAAAGUUAGUGUUGAACCGUUAAUAAUUCUUAAAAGUUUACUUUUUAAACAUUUUUUUUUUUUAUGGCUAGAAACCCAAAGAGAGGCUAGGUCAUCACGACUUAUAUACAUAUGAUACAUUUCACAUGGAAUUACAUGAAUGUUUUAAAACCACGUAGAAGACCUAUGAGGAACAAAAUUUUCACUAGUAUUGGUUGGAAAUAUCGGGAUUUUUCGGAAAUAUCGGGAAAUAUCGAGAGUUUCGGACGAGAAAUGCUUGGGAGGGGAAAUAUAUAUCCCUAGGUGAAAAAAUCGAAAGUUUCAUUGAAAUAUUGCCAAAACUUUUGAUUUUUUCUUCCUUGCUUGAAAGAUUCGUGAAGAAACCAGUUAAGUGGGACUUUCAUUAUUCAUUACUUGCAUGUCUCAUCAACAGGGAGAAAGGGGUAAAUAACAGCAGCAGGACAUUUCAGGACAACAAUCAUCAAGACGAAAAACACAAUGUGCUUAAAAUUCCUCGUGUGUUGGGAGCUCACAGCACCUGUAAAUUCACUUUUGCAACUAUAAGGCUGGUUGUCCAAAGCAUUAUAGGCAAUUGUUAACAAAACAACAGGGAGCACAAACAAGGACUGAUUAAUUCCAUUCAAAUGUUUGACAAAAUCCACAACCGAAAGUAGUUUAAUCUUCUUUACAUAGUGUCAUUACGAAAUUGAAAUGCGGCGAGGGAUUGAAGGAAGAGCAAGGACUUAGGGACUUACUUUUCUUUUCAACAUAUAUAACAUCCUCCCCAUCCUUACUCCUUAGUAAUCUUCCACACAACAGAUGCCCAGCCAGCGAGGCUUGACAACGGGCCGGGUUCGUGCGGUCACGGGCUGAUUCUUAACGGGUUAAACCCAUUAGCUAACAGGUCAAACUGGGCCGAGCCCGAUGGGUUUACGGGUUUCCGUUGGAACCCGUUAAGCACGCGAAUUUUUUAUUUUUUUCCUAAACCCCUUGAAUUUGUGAAGAUCUUUUUUUUAAUGAGAUAAAAAAAAAAUUUACACCCCAAAGUUUAUCAGUCAAAUUGCUCACAACCUGCAACACCAUAGUAUUAUAUCAGUCAAAUUCACCUCCAUAAACUAUUAAUAUCAACUCUCUCAAACCAAAUACUAGCUUCUUCAGAAUGAAAAUACACCAGUAUGAACAAAAAUUCAAAACCUUAAGAGAUAAAAUGAUAAUUCAACAAAUAUUCAUUAAACAAAAUACAUAAUUUAAAUUUUUCUCCUUAAGAGAAGCUUUCUUGUUCCUCCAAUGCAUCAUGAUGGUCAAACAAUGUCAUAUGGAAAAUAUCCUCAGUAAGAUUAUCCACGCUCACACUCUCCUUCUCUAAAAGAAUAAAAAAGUUUUUAUUAAUAUUAUGAUGAAACAAAACUAAAUUGAUAUUUAUUUUACCUUUUUUUCCGAAAAUCCAAUCACGAGUACACAACAAAGCUUGAACAAUAAUACAAUAUCAGGCAAUAACGAACUCUGAUACUGGUCCAUAACUCGACUGCCAAUGCUGAAAGCCGACUCAGAUGCAACAGUAGAGAUAGGGAUAUCGUCAACACAUCACGAGCCAUAUGGAAAAGGAUAAGAUAUCGAUGUUGCUCCAUCUUACACCAAGGAAGUAUAUCCAACUCCAUCGAUCUAUCCAGCCUUGCUUCGUCCAGAUAUUUGCUCAAUUCACUCCUCAAGCUUGAACUAUAACCACUUCUAUAAUGAACAUCAAAAUCCUGCAAAUAUAGAAAUAGCUUAAGAGUAUGAAAACAAGUACACAACAACAUACUACAAGACAAUUAUAUAACACUUUUAUUUACCUCCAAUAUAUUAUGCUUGCAUUGUGCUUAAGACGAGCUCUAAUGAGUUGGAUAGCUUGAACUAUGGAGAUUAAAGCUCUCCACAUAAGCACCAUAUAACGAUGACAAUGUGUCACUAAAAUCCUUCAACUAUGAAGAAUCCCGACCAUAAAGUAUAAAGUAUGUCAUAAGUCCACUCCACAAACUCCAUCUUAAACCGUGGAUCCAAAACAACUGCAAUCCCCAAGAUACUACAAUAAUCCGACCAAUACUUCUUGAACUUCAAAUUUAUCUCCUCCCCCAUUCGUUUCAUAAAGGAAUCAUCAUCUUUCAUGGCUUGCUCUACAUUGUGCUGAAUAAUAAGCACUUUUGGGAAGACCAAGUUUGAUGUAGGAUAUUUUGUUCUAAAAAACAACUUGGUUACAUAAAAAAAACUCCCCUAGGAACUUGUUUAUCGUCUCCAUCUUAUCACACUCUUCAUCUUUAGGACACAACUUAAAGUUAGUGUCGCUCACCCCCAAGUUCUCCAAAGCAUAUCGGUAGAAGAGUGCACUGUCAAGCAUCAAAUAAGUUGAAUUCCAUCUUGUAGGCACAUCCUGCCUCAAUCCUUUUCUAUUACCACCCAAUCCAACUUCUGAAACACAUGCCAAAAACAUACCCAAUCCAUAACUUUCAACACGAAAUCACAACGAGAAAACCGUACCAGUAAGAUGAUGAUGAUGAUGUUGAAUCAAUAUCAUAAAUUAACAUUGAAACUUGCUGCAAUACAAAAACCUCACUCAGUACUUGCUUACAUUGCAUACACAAAUUAACACGGAAAUCCACAAUUCGAAGCACAAUUCGAGACCAGAAACCCUACCUUGCGUGAGAGGCCCUAGCCUGUAAACCAGCUCGGUGGAGAGUUUCCGGAGAGAGAAAGAUUAGGUCAGAGGAGAGAGAAGGGGCUUGGAGAGAGGUUUGAGGAGUCGAAUUAGGUUAGGACGGCGGAGGCGAGCUCAAAAAGCAACAAGAAAGAAAAUAAGGAAAACAGUAAAACGAGAAGAGAUUCAUACAUAUAGAAGAGAGGAGCUGUAACCGUAAAACAAUAAAAGUGUGGUACAUGACCACCACACUUCUUGAGAUACAACUAAAUAUUACUACUAGCCAAAACAGAAAAGAGACAGAAUAAGGAGCUGAACUGCAGCAAAAACUGAUACGCAGCAUAUUAAUGGUGAACGAAGGUGCAUAAGGAAAUGGUGAACGAAGGUGCAGAUGCAGGUUGAUGUGUGUUGAGGUGACAAUGGGCUUCAAGAGGCCAACACUCUGCAAGAGAAAAAUUAGGUUAGCAGCGGAUGUAAUAGUUCUAAUAAUUACAUAAAUGGAAGGAAAAAAAGUUUUUUUUUUUUUAAAUACACGUGGUGAAUGCGAGGCUCCACAAACGCACACUUUUUCUCUGCAUAAGAAGUGUAUGAAGUCUCCCUAAAUUCCCUAUAUAUAAUAUAAUAUAACGAACCACCACACCUCGCUAACUCCAUUCUCUCAUACUUCUCUCAUAGUCGUCUUUGCUUACUCAUCGCUCUUGCUUUCUCUCAUCCAAACCUAGCAGUAAGCUUGAUCUAUCUCUACAUUUCACUUGUAUAUAUAUCGUGCAUGGUCUGAUUAAUGUUACUCUGUUAGAUUUAUUGAUGAUUACUUAGUGUUGGGAAAACAUGGCUUAGAUUAGAGCACUUUGGAAUCCCACGUCAAAAACGUGAAGAAUUAUCGUUUGGUUACAAGAAAUGGUACCACACACACACACUAAUGUCGAGGCUAAACCUUACCUAAACCCUACCUUGCAUGAGAGGCCCUAGCCUGUAAACCGUCUCGGUGGAGAGUUUUCGGAGAGAGAAAGAUUAGGUAAGAAGAGAGAGAAGGGACCUGGAGAGAGGUUGGAGGAGUCGAAUUAGGUCAGGACGGCGGAGGCGAGCUCAAGAAGCAACAAGGAAGAAAAUAAGGAAAACAGUAAAACGAGAGGAGAUUCAUACAUAUAGGAGAGAGGAGCUGUAACCGUAAAACAGUAAAAGUGUGGUACAUGACCACCGCACUUCCUGGGAUACAACAAAAUAUUACUACUAGCCAAAACAGAAAAUAGACAGAAUAAGGAGCUGAACUGUAGCAAAAACUGAUACGCAGCAGAUUAAUGGUGAACGGAGGUGUAUAAGGAAAUUGUGAACGGAGGUGCAGAUGCAAGUUGAUGUGUGUUGAGGUGACAAUGGGCUUCAAGAGGCCAACACUCUGCAAGAGAAGAAUUAGGUCAGCAGUGGAUGUAAUAAUUCUAAUAAUUACAUAAAUGGAAGAAAAGAAAAAGUUUUUUACAAGUGGCGAAUGCGAGGCACCACAAACGCACAUUUUUUCUCUGCAUAAGAAGUGCAUGAAGUCUCCCCAAAUUCCCUAUAUAUAAUAUAAUAUAACGAACCACCACACCUCGCUAGCUCCAUUCUCUCAUAUUUCUCUCAUAGUCGUCUUUGCUUACUCAUUGCUCUCGCUUUCUCUCAUACAAACCUAGCAGUAAGCUCGAUCGAUCUUUACAUUUCACUUGUUUAUAUUUCAUGCAUGGUCUGAUUAAUGUUACUUUGUUAGAUUUAUUGAUGAUUACUUAGUGUUAGGAAAGCGUGGCUUAGAUUAGAGCACUUUGGAAUCCCACAUCAGAAAUAUGAAGAAUUAUCCUUUGGUUAUAAGGAGUGGUACCACACACACACACUAAUGUCGAGGCUAAACCCUACUUUGCGUGAGAGGCCCUAGCCUAUAAACCGGCUCGGUGGAGAGUUUCCAGAGAGAGAAAGAUUAGGUAAGAGGAGAGAGAAGGGACCUGAAGAAAGGUUGGAGGAGUCGAAUUAGGUCAAGACGACGGAGGCGAGCUCAAAAAGCAGCAAGGAAUAAAAUAAGGAAAACAGUAAAACGAGAGGAGAUUCAUACAUAUAAGAGAGAGGAGCUGUAACCGUAAAACAGUAAAAGUGUGGUGCAGGACCACCACACUUCUUGGGAUACAACAAAAUAUUACUACUAGCCAAAACAUAAAAGAGACAAAAUAAGGAGCUAAACUACAGCAAAAACUGAUACGCAGUAGAUUAAUGGUGAACGGAGGUGCAGAUGCAGGUUGAUGUGUGUUGAGGUGACAAUGAGCUUCAAGAGGCCAACACUCUGCGAGAGAAGAAUUAGGUCAACAGUGGAUGUAAUAAUUCUAAUAAUUACAUAAAUGGAAGAAAAGAAAAAGUUUUUUACAAGUGGCGAAUGCGAGGCUCCACAAACGCACACUUUUUCUUUGCAUAAGAAGUGCAUGAAGUCUCCCCAAAUUCCCUAUAUAUAAUAUAAUAUAACGAACCACCACACCUCGCUAGCUCCAUUCUCUCAUAUUUCUCUCAUAGUCGUCUUUGCUUACUCAUUGCUCUCGCUUUCUCUCAUCCAAACCUAGCAGUAUGCUUGAUCGAUCUCUACAUUUCACUUGUAUAUAUUUCGUGCAUGGUCUGAUUAAUGUUACUCUGUUAGAUUUAUUGAUGAUUACUUAGUGUUGGGAAAGCGUGGCUUAGAUUAGAGCAAUUUGGAAUCUCACAUCAAAAACGUGAAGAAUUAUUCUUUAUAAAGAAUGGUACCACACACACAAUAAUGUCGUUGGUCUAGAUGUAGCCAUUGCUUCCCGACCCUCUCGAAGUCUGUAAUCCUAUGUCAUUGUACAUAUCGGAAUCUACUCUAAAUGAAUUCGAGAGGAAAAAUAGAAAGUGCGACGAGAUGUGUUCGCUCUCUUUAAAUAAAAGGAGGAAAAGAAAAAUAUCUAAAACUUUUUUCAGAUUUGAUUUGGUGUAAUGGCUUACGCAAUAUAAAGGAAAGUAAAUAAAAUUUAAAAAUAGAAAAAGAAAAAUAAAAUCAUGUGGCUAGAUGGACACGCGCUGCGUCUAGGAGGUUCACAGUGUCAUGAUCCUAACACACUGUGGGGUCCAUCCUUUAAAUGGAAUUAAAAUGGAAAAAUUGAAAAGAAAAACAAAUCAUAUGGGUCAAAACACGUGCUGCAUCUAGACGGUCUAUAGUUUUAAGACCAUCUCCUAUCAUAGGCUAAAAAACCAAAUUUAGCCUAUGUUAACUCCCACCAUAAGCUAAAUUACAUUUUCCAAGAUAAAAAAUUUGGUUUGAGCUAUUUUGUAAGCCAAAUUUGGCUUAUGAAGUUUGUAAGCUAAAAUUAAAUGUUAUUUUGUUUAACUUUACAUUUCUCCUUUAAAUUUAUACUAUCAUCAAAAUUAAAAAUUUGUUACUCACAAUCAUCGCGAAUAUCUCGACGAGAUCUUUCAUAUGAG
This 55884-nucleotide long non-coding RNA is filed under the name Fragaria vesca (wild strawberry). RNAcentral describes it as "long non-coding RNA (FVES_LNC002266)". Lineage: Eukaryota; Viridiplantae; Streptophyta; Magnoliopsida; Rosales; Rosaceae. The record is from RNAcentral.